ACCUGUGCUUCUGCCUUCUUUUGGCCUCACUUUAAGUUUCCUCCCAUGCCUAAGUGGAACCAUCCCCCUUUGCCCAAGUUUCCACUUCCCCCAUUCAAAGGCUUCCACCACCAUUAUCCAAUAAUCCCUCCCAUCUACAAGAAACCUCUUCCGCCACCGUCCCCGGUGUACAAGCCCCCUCCAGUUCCCGUAAACCCACCUGUUCCAAUCUAUAAACCUCCACCAGUUCCAGUCUAUAAACCUCCUCCAGUUCCAGUAAAACCACUUCCUCCACCUGUUCCGAUCUACAAACCUCCACCAGUUGAAAAACCACAUCCUCCACCUGUUCCAAUCUACAAACCUCCACCAGUUGAAAAACCACAUCCUCCACCUGUUCCAAUCUACAAACCUCCACCAGUUGAAAAACCACAUCCUCCACCUGUUCCAGUUUAUAAACCUCCACCAGUUGAAAAACCACAUCCUCCACCUGUUCCAGUCUAUAAACCUCCACCAGUUCCAGUAUAUAAGAAACCAUGUCCUCCACCAGUUCCAGUCUAUAAAUCUCCUCCGGUUCCAGUAUACAAGAAACCGCAUCCUCCUCCAGUUCCAGUCUAUAAGAAACCACAUCCACCUCCAGUUCCAGUAUACAAGAAACCAUGUCCUCCCCCAGUUCCAGUCUAUAAAUCUCCUCCAGUUCCGGAACCACAUCCUCCGCCAGUUCCAGUCCAUAAGCCUCCUCCAGUUCCGGUAUACAAGAAACGAGUCCCUCCUCCGGUUCCAAUCUACAAGCCCCCUCCAGUUCCUGUAUACAACAAACCACUACCUCCCCGGGUUCCAGUGUAUACGAAGCCACUUCCACCACCUGUUCCAACCUACAAUCCAAAACCCCUCCCUCCCAUUCCUUACAAGCCACUCCCUCCACUUCCCAAGAUCCCUCCAUUCCCUAAGAAGCCAUGCCCUCCCCUUCCUAAGCUACCUCCUCUUCCCAAGAUUCCUCCCAAGUAUUUCCACCACCACCCUCCUCUUCCUAAGCUGCCUCCUCUCCCUAAGAUUCCUCCCAAGUAUUUCCACCACCACCCCAAGUUCGGAAAAUGGCCUCCUUUGCCACCCUUUGCUCCCCAUCAUCCUUAAGCUAUCUUGCAUUGUUUUACGCAUUUAAUGAAGGUGGUUAGUGUGAACAAGUUCCCCAGCAGUACCUCAUGCAAUAAAUGUAGCAACAAAAGAAGAAGAAGAAAAUUGUUAAAAUUAAGAGAGGAAUUGUUAAUUUAUUAUUUAUAUGUUUUGUUAAUUACUUUAUGAUAUGAAUGUGUGAAUUUCUAAUUUUCUGUUGCAAUAAAUACCAGUACAUUAACUUUUCUUUUUCUUUUUCAUGCUCACCACCUUAUUUUGGCUUUCCGUGAUGCGAUGCUAACCUAAUUCACCAGUAUUAUGUAUCAUAUAAUUAAUGCCCCAACAAACCAAUAAAUAGUGUGGUCUUUUUUUAUCUGUAAUCUCACUGAAAAAAAAAUCUGCAGUCGUACUUGCCGCUAUUCAUCACUAUCACAGCACACCCAUCAUCUUUCUCAUCUCACCAUAAUUUUUCAUUUCUUUCUCUUCUUCUAUAUUCCUAUCCUAUCUUUUUCUAUGCACUUGAGAUUCCCAUUAAAACACCAAUAACCCAUCUAUUCCAAAAAAAAUUUGAAAAAUUUUGAUUUAUCAGAAUAACCUGAAAUAAUAAUUUUAUACUAUCAUUUCUCCUAUUUUAAAAUUGCCUAAUACUAUAAUACAUGAAGUCUAUCAUCAAACUUAAACAUUGUUUAACGUAUUUAUUUUUUUUAAAUCAAUUAUAUUUUUUUUUACAUGAAUAAAAUAUUAUGUAAGAUACCCAAAGUAGGUGUCCCAUUAGGUAAUCCAUAAAUUCAUGCCAUGAGCUUUUGGCCCAUGUUCUGACGGUAGCAGCACUGGGAUAGACGAUUAUUCCUUUUUAAUACCACUGGAAAACCUAAAAGAAUAUAUAAUAGACAAUUCUUCACAUAAAUUUUAGAAUAAACUAUCAACAUAUUCAUUUUUAUUUGUCUCAAAUUACAUUUUAGUUACUUAUAUUUAAAAUGUUAUAUAUUAGUCACUUACGUUAUCAUGUUGUAAUAUUUUAGUCACUGAACCGUCAAUUAUCGUUAAAGGUGUAACGGUAAGCUGACAUGACACGUUAAAUCAUCAUUUCAUAUGAAAAUUUUAGGUUAAAUUCUACAAUUAAUCCUUAUAUUUUUUUUUAUUUUAAGCUAUUUAAUUUUUUUAUGUUCUUUUAACUUUUAAGCAAUUUAAUUUUUUUCUUUUAUGUUCUUUUAACUUUUUUUUUCUUUUUUUUUCAUUCUCUUCUACUUCUCCCUCCGUUUUUCUCCCUUUUUCAUUUCUUUUAACGUAAUUUUCCUAUAUUUUCCGUUUAUUAAAACUAGCCCACAAGCUUGCCUCAUUCGAAAAAAAUUAAAUUGUUCAAAAAAAAUAAAAGUAUAGGGACUAGUUUUAACAAAAAAGGCAAACAUAGAAAAACUACGUUAAAGGAAAUGGAGAAGGGAGAAAAACAGAGGGAGAAGCAUAAGAAAAUGAAAAAUAAAGAAAAAAAAAGGACAGUUAAAAGAACAUAAAAGAAAAAAAUAAAUUGCUUAAAACAAAAAAAAUAUGGGGACCAAUUGUAUAAAUUAACCUAAAAUUUUUGUUUGAUAUGAUGAUUUAAUGUACUAUGUCAGCUUACAAUUACACCAUUAACGGUAACUAACAGCUUAGUGACUAAAAUGUUACAACACGACAACGUAAGUGGCUAAAACGUAACAUUUCAGACAUAAGUGACUAAAAUGUAACCUAAAGUAAAUAAAAAAUGAUUAUUUUAAUAGUUUACCCUUAAUUUUAAGCUUUGGUAAACUUGAAUUUAAAUUUCAUUAAUAUGUGAUAAUAUCAUACUUUAAAAUUAUGUUAAAUUAUCACCUUAAAUUUUUAACUUUUUUUAUAAAAUUUUGAAAAAUAAAAAAAUUUAAAUUUUUACCACAUCAUCACAUCUUAGUAGAAUCCAAGCUUAAUGGCUAAAGUAAAAAAAGCUUCCAAAUUUUGGGACUAAUAUGGAAAAAAAAUUCAAGGACCAAAAUAGAAAAAGUUGUCAUAUCUAGGAACUAACUAUUACUUUAUCCCUAUAUAUUAUAAAUAGUAGAAAUAAUAGGUUAAAUUUGGCUAUUAGUCUUUUAACCAUGUAUAAGUUACGGAUUUAGUUUCUUUAAUUAAAUUUGGUUAAUUUUAGUUCAUGUAUUUUUUGAAUUUUAGAGUUUCAGAGUAGUUAAAUCCUUUAGGUCAAGCUCUACUAUUAGUCCCAUACUAUCAUAGGUUGUGGGCUUAGUUUACGCUCUACAAUUGGAUAUUUUUGUCCUUGUAAUUUUCGAAUUUUGGAAAUUUGAUCUUUGACUCCGACAAUAGUCGUUAAACUAAUUAACUAAAAUGGCAUAACUUUUUUGUGAGUAUUAUGUGAAAAUAAUAAUUUUUGACAUGGUAUUGCAUAUGUGGUAAUAUUUUUGUCGCAUAAAAUUUUAAAAAUAAUUUAACUUAACAAAUUUAACAUUCAUCGUUUAAUCAAAAUUGAAAUUUCAAAAUUUUGGUUGGUAACAGCACAAUUCUGAAACAUGGAUUGUAAAUUCCUAGGUGAUUAAUAAAACUCCAGAAAUAUUUCUGCUCAAAUUAAGUGUAUAGUAAAGGUCUGAAUUUUGGUGGCAUUAAUUGAGGGAUUGAUGUGAUAUUUAAGUAGCAAUUAAAUUGCUUAUUGUAGAAGGACUUGGAUGGUUAUAUUACCAUGUUAAUCAGAGAAUGAUUGUCUUGUAAUUUGUACAAUCUAUAAAGAACUCAAUGUACCACUAAUUCUAAGGACUUAUUUUAAGUGAGGAGACAAUUAAACCUUUUACUUGCUUUAGUGAGUUUCAUUUACCAACUUCAUUUACUAUAAAUUGCCUAUUGGUUUGAUAAAAAAAUUUAUACUCGGUAUAAUUUAUUACAAAUGUUUCAUAUUUAUACUAAUGUUAUUCAAAUUUUAACUUACACAGGAAACACUUCUAUUGGCGGAGUGGCUUAGUAUCAAGACGGAAACUGGAUUUUGAGAUUCAACCGUCACUUAGGCUAAUACACACCUUUUGAAGGUGAACUCUAAGGUAUUCUCGAUGGGAUUCUCUUCCUACUUAGUAGAGGAUACAAACGGGCUACAAUUCAAUCUGACAAUAUAGAAGUGAUUCUGCCCUAACUAAUAAUAGAUUGGAAGAUUCAAGCAUUACAAUGCUUAGAAGGGGAUGACGACUUUUGAGAACUGAAGGACAAUAGUGGCUACAACAUAUACCUAGAGAAGAUAAUAUUAUUACAGAUCACUUGGCAAAGUUGAGACUUACGUGGAAAACAAGCUUACAAAUCUUUGAUACCAUUCCUAAUGAAGUUUUGGAUAUUUUUCAACAGGAUAAAGUGAGAGACAUUUUUUAUCUUUUUAAUAAGAUGUAACAUUGUUGUGUUUUUUAUUACCAAAAAAAAUAAUGUGCAAUGAUUAAAUUUAAGGAUAAAAGUAAAAAAUAAAAAACAUCAUAAUUUAAAAUUUAUUUCCAUAAGGUAAUCUAAUCACAUUCGGCGCUUAAUUUUAAAUAAUACAUUAAAUAUGUUUUAAAUUUUAUUUAGUUAGAAAAAGAAAGAAUAAAAUAAAAAGAGAAGAAAUAAUAAAUAUUUGUGUGUUUAUGUAAUAUAUUUGUUAUCAUUAUCGUAUCAAAAGUAAUAAUGAUAUAUUAGCAUUUCAUUAGAUAAAAUGAUACAGAAAUAUUAGGUAUGUUAUUAAUUAUUAUGUGAUAGUAAUAAAAACAGUUUAUUUCUGCAUGUAAUUCUACUUCUACUUUUCCUUUAAAAUAAGUAUGAUAUAUAUAAAAUAAAAAUUAAUUUAUGAUUAUUUUUAUGAUUUGGAAAUGGGUAGGGAGUAUUCCAAUAAAUUUGGUUUUCUCGCAACAUUGAAACGAUACAGCAUCAAGAACGAGGUUAACUUCCACGUGGUUAAAUCCAAAUCUGAGAAGUUCAAAGGGAAAUGUACAGUGCAAGACGGCAGCUGCUCAUGGAAAAUCAUAGGUUCUAUUAGGAAGAAGACGGGGUUAUGGACAAUUAAAAGUUCACCGGUCUACAUACAUGUGUUGCCUCUAGUACAUUAUUAUUGGGUUUUUAGGGUUUUAUUUAGGUUUAAGGUUAUUCCAAUUAUUUUUACGUACUAGUGGGGUUAUAGGUAUUUCAUGGGAUAAUCCAAAGUUGAAUUCGGAUAUGAUCGCGAGCAUAAUACUAUCGAUGGUGAAAACGGAUCGAAGGACUAACGUGUCGGUUUUAAUUGCCAAUAUUUGUAGCCAAUUCACUUAUACGUCUUUGUACCACAAGGCGUGGAUAGCUAAACAAAAGGCCUUGGAGAAGAUGCACAAUGGCUGGGACGCGUAAUGCAACGAGGUAUGGUAGUGGUAUUAAAUGCUAGAGAGAUACGUACCUAGUUGCAUAACAUAUCUUAAAACGGAUCUCACUUGGUGUGUCAUUGAAAUCACCAAAAAUAACCUAUCCCUAUGACAUAGCGAAAAGAACAGUAUAAGGGAAGUAGGGUCAAAUCCUUAAGGACUAGAUUGUUACAACUUCGUAUUCCUCGAAAUCCUGGGCACAAUUGUACCCAAGAAAAACGACGUACUUGAGAAAAAUUAAAAAAAAAAGACAGAAUUAAAAAUAUGGAUGAGUUGAAAUUGUAUAAAUUGAAAUUGAAAUUGAAAAAAGAAACAGAAUUGAGGAAAUGGAUUCUUCGAUUUAAGGGAUCCCAGCAUCCGGUUAGCUUGAUCCUCCUUAGGUUCAAUCCUAGGCUUUUAGGUGAUUUUUCUCAUAACAAAAUAAGCCAGUUAUAAUGGAAGAUGACGCCUAUGACCACCAGCUCCAUUUAGAUUUUAGACUUACGAUUUAGAGGAACCUGACUCUAGCCAACCGUCACUUUUGUGGGACCGUCUUACACUAGAUUUUCAUUUCUCAAUAGCGAAUGCCACGCCAUUUUGUCUCUUGAGCUCGACAACAUCUGACGCAGUAAGUUAACAAACCAACUGUGUAACCUUCCCAAAACAUAAAAAGUGACCGCCUUUGCACAAAAUGAAAAGAUCACUUUUUGGAAGGACAUGGGCGGAAGCAUCAGUCCGGUAAUGUGGAGAAACAAUGAAUACCCGUUGAGAAUGCUAAGUGCUGGUUCUAAGCUUCAUGAACCUUUUUCUGAAGAAUCUCGAUAACCUUUAGUUAGAUGAGUUUAGUGACUCAUGCUUUUCGGGAAAAAAAUAAGUUUAAUGGAAUAGAAUUUUAUUGAAAAUUAAAAGGAACAAAAAGCUAAGAGCUUUAGGGAGAAAGAUUUUUCUACAAAAAAUGAUGAGUGAAUAUCCAUGUCACUCCAUCCCCUAUUUAUAGUACAUAGAAAACCUAGUUUGUUCCUAUUUAAACUCUAAAAGAUAAAUAAAAAUAUAAUUUAAAACUAAAUAUAAAUAAUAUUAUAAUAAUCCUAACAAUAAUCCUAAAAAUAAAAUUCCAAUUUAAAUGGAGUCUUCUGUUCAUAAAUCUCUUCUUUGAAUUUUUGCCCAAGUCUUUUGCACUUUGAAUUUUCGGCAUCACUUCUUCUCUAUUUUGCAUGCUGACUUUUUUUGUCUUUAAAUUCAUGUUUUUUUCCCCCAAAGUUCCUUUUGCCUUCAAUUUAAUCCCUACAAGAUAAAAAACCAUAAAAAGCCCAAAUUAGUAGGAUCAUACACAAAAUAUAUAUGUAAUUAACAUAUAAAAGUAUGUCAUUUUAGAGUAUUAUCAUAUUCCCCUCUACUUAGCCAAUGCUUGCCCUCAAGUAUGAUUCUUAUCCUACUGUGUAAUUUAGAUUUUACCAUGAAAGAAGUAUCAUUCCAAAUUUUUAUAAAAAUUAGGCAUAAUUCUUAUGAAAAUAAAGAGAACCCUUAGCUUGCUUUAAGUAAAACCGAAAAAGUACUCCAAUUUAAACACACAAAAGUUAAAUCGACUUGAAUUAUUUCAUGAAAAUUAGAUAAUUUACUAAACUUACUAAGACACCCUUUUGUUCUACACUUAGUCCCCAAAUGCAAUUAUUUUUUUUCGUAGUUUUUUUUUCUUAAGAAUAUAUUGGCCCUUUUGAUGUGAAGAGAGAUGACAACCCAAGCACCGCACCCCGGUUACUUAGCCUAACACAUUCCUAUUUUAUUAUUAUUAUUUGGUUAAGAAUGUUUUGGCCCUUUUGACGCGAAGUGGGAUGACAACCCAAGCACCCCACCUAGUUAUUCAGCCUAACACACUCUUUUUUUUUGUUUAAUUUCGGUUAGCGGAGUUUUACGUAACACGUCACACAACCUUUUGACGUGAAGUAGGAUGACAACUCAAGCACCCUACGCCGGUUACUCAAUCAGUCAUGUUUUAAGUUGUGCUCAUAACCAAGGAAUCUUCAGAUUUUGUUUUAUUUUAUUUUUUUAAUGAAACAUAAAUUCAAUUUUGGAGGACUAGGAAAAACAAUCAAGUGUCAAAAAUAAGUUUUGGCAAUUACCUAUCAGUCAUGAAAAUAAAUUUAGCAUACAUUUGUAUUAAGUGUCCUAUUUGCAUUUAGACUUAAUCAAUUCUACUAUAAACAAGAUAGGAUUAACUUCAUUAAUCAUAAUUAUUUUAGCCUAAUAGAGAUAAAACAGUAGAGAUUAUAUCAAUAUAGCAAUAUCAUAACUAACUUAGUAGACAAAAAUCAUGCUCGCAGGUCAAACAAUGGGUAAUUCCUAGUCACAAUCUUGGGCAUGAAAAAAGUCAAGAUAUACAAAAAAAAAAUGUGGGCAAAAACAAGCAUAAGGCAGUAGCAACAGUAACAAAACAACGGAUAAAAUAGAAAAAACAAUAAGGAAUGCCUCCCCCUACUUAAAACACAUUGCCCCCGAUGUGAAAAAUAAUAUUAACAAAUAUGAUGAAAAAGAAAGGGUUUAGAACAUUCCCUAUGCCGUUUUCAUUACUAUUUUCGCCACCCGUUUCCAAUUUUUUUUUAUUUCAUCGAUUCUCUUGGAUAUAAAAAGAUAGAUAAAAUUUAUUAACAUGCAAAAAAAUAAAAAUAAAAAUAAAAAUAAUAUAUAUAAAUAAAAUUGUAUUGCCUCCCAACAAGCGCUUGUUUAACGCCGUUAGCUUGAUGGCCCAAUUAGUAUUGAGGCUGUUCUUGCUGAAUUUUUUUGAUCGUAUGGAUUUGAAAAUUCUCCUUUCUUACCACAUUCAACAUAUUUUGGUUCAAUCGUCUUUGUGCCUCUCAUUUUGGUUUCUUAUUUUUCUCCAAGAAAAUCUUAUGUGUGCAUGUCAUAGGGCUAAUCCCUUUUAAGUUAGUAAUGGUCUCAUCAUUCUCCAAAAAUGCGCACUUGAGAUGCUCAGUAAGUGGUAUUAAUUAAAAACCUGGUGCCUGCACAAUAAAAGGUUGAAGUUUAGUAUUCAUAGGAGCCGAUAAUUCAUUAACAGAUUCACAAAUAAAUCCUAAAUCGAAAUUAUCAUUAAACAACAUUUCAAGUUUAUCUUCAUAAGGUGACUCAAAAGUUUCUUCUACUAACGAGUCAAUUAUGUCGACACGGUUUACGUUUAAGAUUUCACUCGGGUGACUAAUAGCGUCGUAAACGUUAAACUUUACAAUCUCCCCGUCAAACUCCAUUGUGAAGUUUCGCUACGCACGCCUAUCUUAAUACUUACGGUAUUAAGGAAAGGUCGCCCCAACAAGAUGUUCGAAGAUCUAGGAGCAUUAUCCUCUUCCAUUUUCACCAUAUAAAAGUCCACAGGAAAGAUAAGUCUGUUGACUUUCACUAAUACGUCCUCAAGGACUCUUUUGGGAUGCACAAUAGACUUGUCUACUAAUUGAAUGAUAACACCUGUUUUUAUUGAAAAACUCAUUUUAAGUGAUUCAUUAAUAGAAAAAUGCAUUACAUUUAUGGAGGCCCCUAAAUCACACAUAGCUUUUUUAAUUCCUAAGUGACCUAUUUUGUACGGUAUUACAAAUAUGCCCCUAUCUUUACAUUUUGCUGACAUCUUUCGCUGCAACACCACAAAUGUAUUUUCACUAACACUUACUCUUUCAUUUCCAGUUAAUUUUUGCUUGUUGGUACAAAGCUCCUUAAGGAACUUGGCAUAUCGCGGAAUUUAUUUAAUGACAUCCAAUAACGGUAUGUUAAUCUCAAGAUUUCUAAAUGUUUCGAGGAUCUCUUUUUCCUCCUUACCUCUCCGAUGUUGGUUCAACCAUCUUGGGAAUGGAGAUUGAAUUAUGGGCAAUGCAGGUUUCGUUCGGACCUGUUCAUCGGUCUUUUACUUUUUCUGCACGGAAUCUUGAUCAAGAUUUUUGUUAGGAUUUGGUUCCAAUACUUUUCCACUUCGCAACGUCACUGCAUUUGCGUGUUGUCUUAGGUUAGGUUCCAUUUAUAACGACGGCUUUCCUUAUGAAUUCAUUUUCUCAAUUGAUAUGGUCAACUCUCUCAUAGGCGCCUCAAUUUUCUGUUGAAAAUCCUAUGUUUUCUUCUGAAAAUCAACAGUUUGUCAUUGUAUUUGUUGUUGGAAAUCAAGCGCAUUAGAUACUAAUUUAUUGACCAUGGUUUCUAGAGAGGUACCUGAAUCUCGCGUUUGUUGUGGAAAUCGAUUUUGGUAUAGCUGAUUAUACUGUAGGUUAGCCUCAUAACUCAAGUUAGGAUGGUCUUUUCAUUCUGGGUUAUAUGUACUUGCAUAAAAGUCAUAUCGAAUUUGGGACGGUCCAAAAGAGUUCCCCACAACAUCUAAAUAGGCCACAAUAUCGUUACAUAAACUGGGACAUGCAUCAGUUGUAUGUUAGAGUGUUGCAAAAAUUCCACAUAGUUGGGUUGGUCUUGCUUUUUUUUUUUGCAACAAGAGAAUUCACGAUAUUAUUAAGUCUAUCAACUUUAUUUUCUAAAGUUGAAUUACUUAGCUGGUGAACCCUUCUAGUGGGUUCAAGAUUGGCUCGGAAUUAUUGUGUAUUUGCAGCCAUCAUGGGGAUCAAGUCCUUUUCCAGUCGGGGGUCAUGUUCUGUUAUCCCAUGUUGUAGGCAACUUGUACACAACUUUUUAAAUCACUCUCAAUAAUAGUAAAAAGAUUUUACAUCUUUUUGUCUUAUCCCAACAAUCUUCCUCCUUAACUCAACUGCACACGAUGUUGGGAAAUAUCUGUUAAGAAACAAAUGGGAAAGAUCAAUCCAAGUUGUGAUAGAUCCAAGAGGCAGAUAAAAUAACUAUUCCCUAAAAAAUCUGUUAAGGAAAAAGGGAAAACACGUAAUUUAAUUUGAUCCUCAAUUACGUCCUGAGAUUUCAUACUAAGACAAAUCAUAAGAAGCUCUUUCAAAUGUUUGUGUGGAUUCUCAUUUUGCAAUCUGCGAAAAGUCAACAAUAACUGGAUUAAUCUUGACUUCAGUUUAAAAUUAGUAUUCAUAGUAAGAGACGAAAUACAUAACAACUGUUUUUCUGUAGGAGCUUUGGCCAUUUGCCGAAUUAUUUGAGCCAUAGGUUGUUGUGCUAGAUUUGAGUUUAUGUUAACCCUAGCAUUAGACAUUUCUUUUAGUGGAUCGACUCAUAUCCUUUCGUUCUCCAAUGUUUGAGUAGGGUUUCGUUAACCUUAGACUCAAUUUCGUCGCCUGCUUCUAUUUUCGACGGUGGGUUACUCUGAGUUCCUACCACCUCUGAAUGCUUUUUUCGUAGCUUCGUUUCCUUGCGAUUAGCUCUUGCAGUCUUUUCUAUUUUUGAAUCGAACGUAAGAUUUCCUGGAGUAGAUAUGGUCAUAAGUAAAAGAAACAAGAUUAGUACGUUACUAGUCCCCGACAACGACACCAAAAUUUGGUACGUCGUUGGAAGCACAAAAAAUAACCUAUCCCUAUGAAAUAAUGAAAAGAAUAGUAUAAGGGAAGUAGGGUCAAAUCCUCAGGGACUGGAUAGCUACAACUUCUUGUUCCUUAAAAUCCUAAGAACAGUCGUGCCUAAGAAAAACGGCGUACCUGGAAAAAAUAAAAAAGAUAGAAUUAAAAAUAUGGACGAGUUGAAAUUGUAUAAAUUGAAAUUGAAAUUGUAAAAAGAAACAGAAUUGAGGAAAGAGAUUCUUCGAUUUGAGGGAUUCCAACCUUCUAUUAUCUUGAUCCUCUUUGGGUUCAAUAUUAGGCUUUUAGGUGAUCAUUUUCAUGAUAGAAUAAGUCAGUUAUAGUGGAAGAGGACUCCUACAACCACCGACUCCACUUAGAUUUUAGACUUACGAUUUAGAGGAACUUGACUCUAGUUAACCGUCAAUUUUGUAGGACUGCCUUACACUAGAUCAUCAUUUCUCAAUGGCGAAUGCCAAGCCAUUUCGUUUCUUGGGCUCAACAACUACUGACACAGUAAGUUAGCGAACUGACUUUGCAAUCUUCCCAAAAUAUACAAAGCGGUUGUUCAUUGCACAAGAUGAAAAGAUCAUUUUUGGAAGGACAUAAACAAAAACAUUAGUCCCGUAAUAUAGAGAAACGAUGAAUACUCGUUGAAAAGGCUAAGUGCGGGUUCUAAGCCUCAUGAACCUUUUUUAGGAAUCUCGAUAACCUUUGGCUAGAUGCGUUUAUUGGCUCAUGCUUUUAGGGGAAAAAAAGUUUAAUGAAAUGAAAUUUUAUUGAAAAAUAAAAGGAACAAAAAUUUAAAAGCUUUAGGGAGAGGGAGUUUUUUUUAUAGAAAAUGAUGAGUGAAUAUUCAUGUCACUCCAUCCCAUAUUUAUAGUUAUAGAAAACCUAGUUUGUUCCUAUUUAAACUCUUAAAAGAUAAAUAAAAAUAUCAUCUGAAAUUAAAUCUAAAUAAUAUCAUAAUAAUCCUAACAAUAAUCCUAAAAAUAAAAUUCGAAUUUAAAUAGAAUCUUCUGUUCAUAAAUAUCUUCUUUGAAUUUUUUCCCUAAGUCUUUUGCACUUUGUAUUUUUGGCACCAUUUCUUCCCUAUUUCACAUGCUGACCCAUUUUGUCUUUAAAUUCACACUUUUUGCCUCCAAACUUUCGUUUGCCUUUAAUUUAGUCCUUACAAGAUAAAAAACCAUAAAAAUACCCAAAAUUAGUGGGAUAAUACUCAAAAUAUAUAUGCAAUUAACACAUAAAAUUAUGUCAAUUUAGAGUAUUAUCACUUGUUACAUGGUUGUUGAGUGUUCAAAAGUCUGUUUUAGACCUUCAAGCAAUGCUAGGAUGUAUCCUAAUACUAUAAGCCCUUGGUACAAAUAGACGUUACCUACAUGUAUGGUAGAUAUACCUAUCGACUUUUGUUGGCUGUGGCACAGGAUGGUAAUUGGAGGAUCUUUCCAAUUACAUUUGCAAUAACAUCGAGGGAGAAAGCAGAUGAUUGGGAUUUAUUUUUGUCUAGGUUGAAGGGGCAUGUCUGUCCCUAGCCUGAUAUAUAUGUCAUAUCAGAUCAGGGAGUUGGAAUAUUAUCCGUAAUUGAAUGAUAGGGAAACCUCUGGGAUCGCACACACCAUCGGUACUGCCUAAGGCACGUUACAUCCAACUAUUACCAGCAAUAUUGGUUUACCAUUGAGCUACAAUAAAUAUUGAACAUGAGUAUCUGAUUGCCACCAAUAUUAUUUGGUUAGUAAUGUUUUGUUUUUAUUUUUAUAUUUUUUUGGUAAGUAACUGUCGCUAUGUACUUAUAUUGAUAGGGUACAAGUUCAUGAAUGAUCGUUUUCAUGAGAUGUUGGCAAUAUUGCGAUCAAUUAACUCGGCAAGGGCAGUAUAUCUCGAAAACAUACCAUUUAAAAAAUGGACACAAGCAUACGACCACGGGUUACGAUAUGGCCACAUGAUAUUGAACCUGGCAGAAUGCAUCAAUUCUGUUUUAAAGGGAACGUGUCAUUAGUUGAUAACAGUAGUUGUGAAAGAGAUAUACUUCUGUCUGGCAGAACUGUUCCCAAAGCGAGCGAUGAGUUAUGCCAGGAAAUUACAGUGAGGCCAUGUAUAGUGCUUGGUGGUAGUGGAAGAAAUUAAUAAUGGUAAGGUACGUGUAAAUUGCAUGUAUGUAGCUUGUCACUUGCGCGAAGACUUAUGGUUUCAGAUGACAGAGUUCAACAGGUCAGACCAAUGUAUAGCCAGGGGGUGUACCGGGUACACUUGAGAAAUAUGACUUAUGACUGUGAGAUAUUUGAUUCACUUCGUUAUCCAUGCGCUCAUACAAUUGCAAAUUGUAUGAAUCUCCGUAUGGAUCCAAUAGGCUUUGUUGACGAAGUGUACAAAUUAGAAAACUCAUACAAUGUGUGAAGACACGUAUUUCCACUAGUCUCAGAUGAACGUAAAUGGCUGCCUAUAUUGCUUGCUCUAUUUAAGUUGUCACCCGGUCGAGAUUUACAUUGCAAACCAAAAUGUCGACUGUACUUGACUUGAAUAUGCAACGACAUGGAUAUUCAGGAGCGCUCAAACCAACAGAGGUUAUGCGGGUGGUGUAGGAACCUGGGUCAUACAAUGUCGUCCUGUCCACAUCGAAGUUAAACAUUAUAAUAUGUCUUUAUGGGAAUUUCUAGCCAUUGUUAAUCCAAAAUAAAUUCAAUAUUUUUUCAUGUAAAUUUUCAACAAAAACAUUUGAUAUUUUUGUUCAAAUCAAAUCUUAUUACAAUGCUAUGUGAAAAUAUUUUAAGUAAAUUUGAAUUUUAAUUAGGGUUUAAUGGAUAGCUAAAUUAGAUAGUGUACCAAAAAAGAUUCAAAAGAACUUAUAUUGUAACACCCCUUACUCGUAUCCGUCGCCAGAACAGGAUACGAGGUAUUAACAAAUCAUAGUACAUACUAUUAAAUAAAACCGAGACAAAAAUAUGGCGUGCAAUUAGAUCAUGAAUCAUUAUAACAUAUGCCUUUAACAAUACUAGCCAAUUUCAAAGGCUUCGUACAAAAUAAUCGGUCAAAUAACUAAGUCUACUAUACAUGCCAUAAUUCAAAAUGUUCAGUUCAAAUACCCAAAAGUAUUGAUAGUGUAGGCAGAUCUUUAACGAUCCUUGACUCUUGUGCGAGCUGGACGACACUAUAAGACAAAAGAGAGAAAAGAAAGUAAGCUUAUAGCUUAGUAAGCAAGUAUAUAAAUAAUGAAUAAAGAAUUUAAUAUGUUUACACAAAAACUCAAGUGUAUCUACUUUUAAUUUCACAAUUUACUCCACUUUGGUCAAACUGUCUCUCCUGCGUCAUAUUCACUAAAUAAAUCAUAACUCAAGUUACAAAACUCAAAAUUCAAAUCCGUAAAAUUUCCCUGAAACUAUACUCAUAUUACUUCUUAUUAAAUUUUUUUUCUAGAAUUUUUGGUCCAUCCAAUUAGUACAGUUUAUUAGUUAAAAUUUCCCCUGUUAUACAGCUCGACUGAUCUGACCUUUGUUCACUACGAAUUGAAUUUCUCCCAGUAAAUAAUUCAAAUAGCCAGUAAAUUUGUUUCAUUUAAAACUAGACUCAAUAAGGAAUCUAGAUAUAUAAACUAUAUUUCUUAAUUUGUUUUGUACAAUUUUUAAUGAUUUUUCAAAGUUAGAACAGGGGAUCACAUAGUCCUUCUAAGCGAGUCACACUCAAAUAUAAAUAUCUCAAAAUAUAGAGUUUCUUUACUUUCUCUGUUUCUUUUAUAGCUUUAAUUUCAUAUCUCAUUAACCCUCUAAGUAAAUUCCUACUAUUUUUUGUGAUUUUUCAAAUUCACGUCACUGCAACUGUCCAAAACAGUAUUAUUGCUAAUUCAUUCUUUCACACUUUCUUUGUAUUAACCUCAUUUUAACAUGCAUAUCACAAUUCAUUUUCACCACAUUUCAUACAUCACAAGUAUAGGUCCAUGAUUACAAUGUCACCAUAAAACCAUCCCGUUGAACAAUUCGGAUCAAUCCUCGAUACUUGAUGGUUUCAGCACACAGCCCCACCAUUAUAUUUCAUAUAAUUCGGCUCUCUUGUACACAUGGUGAACACUUAGUACCACCCAUGUAACCUAGCCAAUUUAUCUCGUAGCUCUCUUGUCUAUAUGGUGUACUUCACUUGGAGUCACACAUGCAACCUAGCUACAUUUAUCCUCUCCCGUAGCUCUCUUGUCUACAUGGGAUACAUCCAAUAUCACACAUGCGACCUAGCUACUACAUAGUAUCUUGUAGCUCUCUUGUACACAUGAUGUACACUCAGCACCAUACAUGUGACCUAGCUACGUUUCAUCUAUAUUAUUCAAUCUUUUUGAAAGUUCAACCGGGAUUUCUCUCGCUAUUACUUAUUUCCAUUCUUCCAAUAGUCGAUUUAUGAUUCAAAAUCAACUAAAAUAUAUAAAAUAGGCUGAAAUAUAAAAAUAUAAAUGAAUUUAAUGUAUUAUUUACAUACAAACUUACCUCGGUGCAAAAUAUGGAAAUUUUGCAAUUUAGUCCAAAACCUUUUCCUUCCCCCGUUCGAGGUCGAUUCCACGCCUUUCUUGAUCUAUAACAACACAUUUAGCUCAUUUAACACUCAUACUAUUUAUUUCAAUCCAAAAAUCACAUUAUGGAAAAAUUACAUUUUUGCCCCCUAACUUUUACAAAAUUACAAUUUUUCCCCUAGGCUCGGAAAUUUAAUUUCAGCCCUUAUUCUUAUGUUUUAUGACAUGCUGAACAUUUUUCUCUUCUAUGACAACAUCAAAUUCUCACUCUAACAUGAACGUAUGAGCAUUAGGUAUUUUUACCGAUUAUUCCGUUUUGCUCGUUUUCGCUAAAAAUCACUUAGAAAAGAUCGUUCUCCUAACCUCAAACAUUCAUAUACUACCAUCAAACAUCAAAAUACAUGCAUAUCAUUCAUGGGUAAAUUUUUAAACAUAAACCCUAACUCGAAAUAAUGGUAGAAAUAGGUAAACCGAGCUACGAGGAUUUCAAAAAUGUAAAGAACAUUAAAAACGGGGAUUGAGUGCACUUACUAUUGAGGUUGAAAUCUUGAAACAAACCCUAGCUAUGGAGAACACGCAAGUUUCGGCCAAGCUAAAUGAAGAUGAACACAUUUUUGUGUUAUUUUUUCCAUUUUAUUUCAUUUAAUAUGCAAAUGACCAAAAUGCCCUUACUACUAAACUUUCUAAAAAAUCCAUCCAUGUCCAAAUUUUUGUCCGUAUAAAGUAUAAUGGUCUAAUUUUCAUUUAAGGACCUCUACUUAAAACCCCCAUUUCAUUCAAGUACUUUAUGAACUAGAACACACACAUUUUUCACCUAUUUCAAUUUAGUCCUAAACGUCAAAUUAAACACCCAAUCGAUGAAAUUUCGCAACGAAAUUUUCACACAAUUAUGCAAUCAUAAUAUAAACACUAAAAAUUAAUUAAAAUAAUUUUUUUUCAACCUCAGAUUCGUGGUUUCAAAACCACUGUUCCGUUUUGGCCCUAAAUCGGGCUGUUACAUAUAUUAAUUUAAAUGAUACAAUUUACAAUUCAUCAGUGCAUAUGCUGAUCAGAAUCUGUGCCACAUUGAGGUGAUCGACAGUUACGCGCUGGAUUCCUUUUAUGUUCAGCUUCUGGCUGAGGUUAUGGUUGUCGAGGUUUACCUUCGGUCGAUGUAGAUCUUUGCAUUUGUGCAACUUUCGGUCUAUACUUAGGUGGUUGGGAAGAUGACCCACCUUGAUAAAACAAAUAUGUCGGAAGUGUCUGCGUCACCCAGGGCGAAUGGGAGUAAGACCCAUAAGCCGAUAGGAUAACAAGUGGACUUUCUGCCGAUGCCUCAUGCAUAGAUGGCCUAUACAUUAUCGUAUGCAUCACCGUCAUUUGGAAAUGUGAUGGCCUGGGCAUGUACCACAUCGGUGAUAGAUGACCAAUAAUCCAAAUUGAUAGUACACUCACCAACAAUCCAAAAGUUUGUAAUAGACGGUCCCCCAAUUAGCAGACUAAAUAGACUCGGUGGCUACCGAUUCGUCCACGGGUAACCUAACUGUUACUGCACAUCCUCUAGAGUGAUAGUAUACUCACCGCAUGGAAGAUGAAAUGUGUGCGCCUUUGGUCUCCACCUCUCCACCAACGUACUUAUGAGUUUCGGGUCCAACUUAUGCCCCAGCCUAAGUAGGCCACAUAGAAAAACACCAACUUCCCUCAAGUAUGUUUCGAUCAAUGGUGAUGGAAUACCAAGUAGAUUACGAAUAUGACAUUGCAAAAUUCGAUCUUCCACCUAUUUACAUGAAACAGUUAUAAAAAAUAUUAAGUUCAAUUAUAACUAUGAAAUAAAAAAAUUAAAAUUUUUUAAAUUUAAAAUUUAUUCUUACCAUUUGCAAUUGAUUGACGAAGAUGUGCUUGUCAUCAAGACAGAUUAGGGACCCGACUAUUGCUAAAUUGAACAUGAACAAAUUUUUAAUAAAAAUACUAUUCUUGGAAUUACCAAUAAAAAAUAAUAAUAAUAUUAACUUAGAUAAAAAUAGAAUUUAGGAUAAUAAUUUGAGAGCUUUUUGAGAAUUGUGAGAAAUUUGAGAAAUUAGAGGAGAAAUUGUGAAAAUUGUGUUGGGGGGUUUUAUAAUUUUUUUUGGGACCGUUAGGGGUCCAAUGGCUAGUUCAAAUAGCCGUUGGAGCACAGACAAAAGCAUGCCCACAUGGAUGUUUUUUUACAAAAAAUACUUCCACGUAAGCGCGUUUUACUUGUCAUUAGCAAAAAAAGGGCUAAGUUGAACCUGCUUUUUUGCGUUUUCCCUGAAAACGACACCAGCUCAGUGCGCUUUUGUGAAAACGGACCAUUCUAGUCAUUUUUGAAAAAAUUGACUCAUUUCUGUAAUUUUUUUUUAAAAAAUGGCUUUAUCAGGACAAUUGGUCCUGUGUGUACCAUUUAUGCAAGGAUUUGUUAUCUUGCACGUCUCUAAUUUUAAACCUAAGACUCCUGCAAAUAUUUAAUUUCAAAUCUACAACCUCUCAUAUAGAAAUUCUGAUAUCACAUAAUGAUAAUUUACAUUAAUCACUUAAAAUAAAAUUAUUAAAACAUAAUUAAUGUUAAUAUUCAUGUGGAGUGUUGUUGGUUAAUUAAGUUAAAAGAGAGGGCAGACCCAAUAGAAAGAAGCAAGCAGAAGGCGGGGGUUGAUUUUGUUAGCCCAUGUUUGUUUAUUGGGCCAAAGACUACCAGAGGGUUUUACUUGUUGAUGGCAUCCCAACUAACUCAUCAUCCUAUCUCUAUUCAUUUUUUGUCUGUUUAUCGCAAUCACAAACCUCUACAUACAUGUAAGAUGAUUAUUCAACCAAGAUUAUCUUUCCCUGUGAAAAUCAAAGGCAUAUUCGUCCCCCUAGAUUGGCAUCUAUCAUUCAUUUCUGCUUAACCAAUCACAUAUUUUACUUCAUGCUAACGCCCAUUCCCAAGCAAAAGCAGCAGAGCAGAGCAUAAAGGGUGGUUGGAGGGACACCAUAGGUUUCAUCGAGAAGCUAACUGCAAUAUUAUAAUAAUAUAUGUUUUUUUUUUUUGCAGACACGAGAUGCUAAAAUAAGCUUUGUGAGGCAGGGGGUCCGUUAUUACAAAUUUCUCAAUUUUAAAGAAUAAACUAAUCUCUUUCAUAUAAAUUAUAGCCAUUUAAUCUUUGUGUAGAAUAAUUAAUUAAAUAUAAUUUUAGUUGGUUUAAUAAUAAAUUUAACUCAUAAAAUUUAUAAAAUUUAUUAAUUUGAAUUCUAAUUUCACAAAUUCAUCUCACUACAUUUGUAUAAUUGUGUAAAUAUUAAUAUUAAAUUUAUUGGACGUUUUAAAAUUAAAGUUAAUAUGACAAAAAAUAUAUAAAUAUUAAAGAUUAAAUUUAUUAAUAAUAGAAGAUUGUAAUUAAUUAUCACUUUAAAAUUUGAUAAAGAUUAAAUUAUUUUAAUCUUUUAAAAAAUAAUAAAUUUACUUAUUUUUAAAAUUAAAAAUUUGAAAAGGAUUAGAGAAUGGAUUUUUACCUAGCAUGCUCCAUGUCUGAAGCAGUGUCGCUCUCUCUCUCUCUAAGGUCUAAAUCAGUCUUUUUGAGUUUUAACUUAUUAAUAUCUUUUAGUGAUAGCUUAUUAUUUAUGAAAAUAAGCCGCAUCAUUUAAAGAAACAAAGAAAGGAAAAUAAGCGGAAGAGUGGCUUCCCGCUGCCCCGCAUCUCAUCUCAUACCUUGUGAAAUUUUUUAAUUAUUAGUAAACCUGCGGGAUUGCUGGUGGUGUAGGAAUUAACCUCAACUACAACCCCAUUUUCUUAGUUUUCUCUUAGCUUUUUUUUUCUUACAUUUGGAUCAUCUAUGAUAUGGUUUUUUUUAUUGAUAUAACACAUAAACAUAAUACAAAUGAUUACAUAUUAAAAUUUUAAAUUUAAAUAUAAUGUUAAUAAAUUUCAUUUUAUAUUACCUAGAAAUAUUUAAUUAUGAAUUUUAUCCUUUUAUUUUAUGAAUUUUUUUUUGUAAUCUAAUCUAAUAUUGUUAAUCAUUAUCGACCUAAAGAUAAGCAAUUUAUAAUUUAUAUCCAAAGAGCUAAUAAAAGUUAGCAGACAUAUGUAAUAAAUUAGCAAAAAUCAAAUUUACAUAACAUGAACGGUGCCAAGAGGACUAGCAAGUGCCCUAGCUCCUUUAAAAUUAAAAAAAAAAAUUAUUUCAAUCCCUUGAAAUUUUUAAAAUUAUAAAUUAUUUUAAUUGUAAAAAUACAUUUUACCCUAAGAUGAAAAGAAUUUAAAUUUAAGAAAAAAGAAAAUGCGAUUUAAAAUUUUAGAAAUUAAUUUUGACAUGUGAGAAAUAAAAUAUAGAGAGGAAUAACUCAAAUUUGGUAAAACAGUAGGAGAAAAUUGAAAUUUAAAGCGGAAAAAAUAGUAUAGGUAUAAAAAAAAAAAAAAAAAAGAGUUUUUGCUCGAUGGACUGUGAUAAAAAUGAGAAGGCCCACCAAAAGUAAAAUUAAACUCGUACAGUACUAGCUACUACUUUACUAAUCCGUGAAUACCGACAAAAAGCAUAUGCCGCCAAGCCAAGGGGCCCCUCGGUUACCAAAUGGACUAACUCUAGUUGAAACUAUACCUUACGCUGGUUAAUCUUUACCGUCGCGAUCAACCCACGUGUCCAUCUUUCAACGGUCCAGAUCCCUCUUCUUUCUAUAUAAAACCUCCUCUCUCUCCGUCCAAACCCUAUACCUAACCAUCGAAGCAGAAAAUAUCUCAAAUCUCUUCCUCCUCCUCAGAAAUCUUAGUAUCAUCACCAUGGCCUCAAAUCCCAAGGUCUUCUUUGACAUGACUAUCGGUGGUCAGCCCGCUGGUCGGAUUGUGAUGGAGCUUUUCGCAGAUUGCACUCCUCGCACUGCUGAGAACUUCCGUGCCCUCUGUACCGGCGAGAAAGGCGUCGGCCGCAGCGGUAAGCCCCUCCACUACAAAGGCUCCUCUUUCCAUCGUGUGAUCCCUAACUUUAUGUGCCAAGGAGGUGACUUCACCGCCGGAAACGGUACCGGAGGUGAAUCCAUCUACGGAUCCAAGUUCGCUGACGAGAACUUCAUCAAGAAGCACACUGGUCCCGGUAUUCUCUCAAUGGCUAACGCUGGUCCCGGAACUAACGGAUCUCAGUUCUUCAUUUGCACGGCUAAGACUGAGUGGCUCGACGGAAAGCACGUUGUGUUUGGACAAGUUGUUGAAGGCAUGGAUGUGGUGAAAGCCAUUGAGAAAGUUGGGUCUAGCAGUGGAAGAACUUCCAAGCCCGUUGUUGUUGCUGACUGCGGACAGCUCUCUUAGAGAAGAAAAAGAGAACUAUGUGUUAAGUUGGGAUGUUGUCUAAUGUCUAGAAUAUUUAAUGUCUGUCAUUUAGACUCUUUUAUGGUGCUGUUUUUAUCGUCACUGGGUUUGGUGGUUUUCAGGAACUUGCUUUAUGUAGUUUUUACGAUUAACUACCAUUAAAUAAGAUACUCUUUUUCGUCAUCAUAAUCAUCACUGUCUACCUGUGUUUUUAAUUUUUUGCAAUGGUUUCUGCUCAGCAGUAGAAACCUCACCCACUGGCCGCUCCGUGCGGUGUAAUCAAAAGCAUUGGUGUUUAGUCAUCGGUGGUGUAAAUUGUUUAGACCUAGUCAAUUGUGGAAAAUGGAUUUUUAAAAUAAAGAUAUUUUUGCAGAUAAACUUAAGAAGAUGAAGACAAAAUAUCCAAAUAAUCUCAUGGGUUGUUUUGAAUAAUUAUGGUUACAUAGACACUCGUGAAGGAGAUGGGGUCCUUGGAGAUUGAUCCACAGCCUCAGCUGUAAGGCAAAAAAUCAAAGCAGGUGAUACGUGGAGAGAGACAAGGUUAUUUGUUUUGUGAUAGAAAUAGAGCCUCGUUUGAGAUGUGGCGUCCCACCACCGCUUGGCCUUGGGGUUCUUCGAUUUUUCCCGAGGUUGGUGGUCGAAACGGUAGAUGUUGGUGUUUUACUAAUGAUAAAUUUAGCCAGUAAUUUUUUUUAUAUUUUGUCAAAAUGAAUUUAAUUAUAUAUUUAAUUUUUUUUUUCUGUUUUUUCAAACAAAAUUAAUAAAUAAAUUUAAUAUUUCAAUAUUUAUUUUUUUAAAAGAUUUUAAUUUUUUAUAUAUUUAUUUAUUGAGAAGUUUUUUUAUUGAAUUAAUUUUUUAAAAAUAAUUAUACUUAUUUCUUUUUUUUAAUUUAAUGUAUUAUUUAUUUAUUUAUUAUUUUUUACACUCAAUUAUCUUAUUGAGUUAUUUGAAUAAUAAAUUAUAUCUUAUUAAAAAUAUUUUACAUAUAAAAUUUUAUAUCAUCCUUUUUAAUUUUUUUAAUGGUACUUUUAUUAAAUCUGUUAAAAAAAUAAAUUAAAAAAAAGAAAAAUUUAAUAGAAAAAAUUCAAAAAUUCAAAAAUACAAUUAGAAUCAUUUUGACAAUAUAUAAAUAUUAAUGGUUAAAUUUAUCAUUAAGCCUAAAUAAAAAGGAUAAAUUUCCUUAAACUUUGUUCUACAUUUUAAGUACGGUGCGCCUCAAGUCAAAGAGUAAUAGCUAGUUUUUUUUUUUUUAAAUGUAACAAUAAAUAAAAAUUCACAUCGAAUGCGGUAAGAAAAACUUUUUAAUUUCUCUAGAAUCUUAUAUUAGAAGCCUUGGGAGUGAUAUUACUUACCAAUUUAAUUUGUUCUACCUUUUCAUUGGAAUUGCUUCUUAUAAGAAUUUUAUAGCUAAUUUUUUUACGUCUAAUCUCAUAAAAAUCAUUAUUUUUGAACUUUCACACACACAAAAAAUUAAAAACUACUCAUUUUAUCUUAUUUAUUUUUCAUUUGCUUUGUUGUAUUAUAAAUUUAAAAAAUUUAAAAAUUUAAAACUGAAGCUUACUCAAAAAUUUAAUUAAUCUAGUAACUAGAGUUACAGAAAAAAAAAAGAAAGGAGAUAAGUUUAGUAAAAAAAAAUGGGAUACUUUAUAUUAUAAAUUAAAAAAAUAAAUAUCAAAUUUCAAAAAAAAUUGAAAUUUAUUAAAGAAUCAGAUAAUAUAAUAAAACAUUUUACUCUUUUCUUUUGCACUCUUCUUUCUUAAUUUAUUCUCUUUUUCCUUUUUUUCAUAGUUAUAAAAAAAAUCAUGUAAAUAGGUAGUUGAUAGUAGAAGUUUUUAGAAUUAUCAAGAAUAACAGCAGUGCUACACACGUAGAUUUUGUUUCUCAAAAACUUGAGUAGCAAUAAUUGGUUUAAUAGUGGAAUCUGCAUUUUACAUUGAGGUGUUUUUUGCUAGGGUUUUUAGGUUUUGAGAAAAAAAUAAAACAAAACAAAAUUUGUAAAGCAAUUUCUGGAUAAAACGAAAUGAAGUUGUUGAUAUGUUUGAAUGUGUUCAUCAAUGGUGGAACACAAACGGGGUUUAGUUUGAAAAUUUUAACUUCUUUUAUAUAAUAAAAAUUUCCUUAAAAAUUUUUUAGUUUUAAUUUCAAGAAUUUUCUAGAUUUAUACGAUAUUUAGAUAUUUUUAUUUUUUUAAAAUACAAAAUUUAAAUACUUUUUUUAAUAGAUUUUUAAAAUAAUUUUUAGUCUAAGAUUUUUUUAAAUUCUUUUACCAUAAGAUUUUUUUAAAUUCUUUUACCAUUAUUGUUAAGAAUAUUUUUAAAAUGUCAAAAUAAAUAUUUUAACUUUUAAAAUAUUUUAGCAUUAUUUUUAUUUAGAUAUUUAGAUAUUUUUUAAAUUCUUUUAUAUAAUAAAAAUUUGCUUAAAAAUUUUUUAGUUUCAAUUUCAUGAAUUUUCUAGAUUUAUACGAUAUUUUUAUUUUUUUUUCAAAAUACAAAUUUUAAUUAUUUUUUAUAGAUUUUUAAAAUAAUUUUUAGUCUAAGAUUUUUUUUUAAAUUCUUUUACCAUUAUUGUUAAGAAUAUUUUUAAAAUGGCAAAAUAAUUUUUUAACUUUUAACUUCAGGACCAAAUUAUCUAUUAACCCUUUGAUUUAAGUUCCAACUCUAUUUUUUUUAACGGAAGUAAACAAUCGAGUGACAAAAAUAUAACAAUUUGAUUAUGUUAAUGACUAUUCUGUAACCUUAAAAAGUGGGGUGAUAAAAAUAUAUUUUUAAACAAAUUUUAGGGACAGUUGGGUGUAGUUUACCUUUUAAUAAAAUUUUAAAAAUUUAUAAAAAAUAUUAAAAAUAGAUCAAAUCGAUUUUAAUCAGUUUUUUAGUUUGGCUCAACUGAUCUGUACCGAUUAGUGGAUUAAUUAGUUUAAAGUAAUGAUGCUUGAAUUGGAUCAAAUUAGGAAUUGAUCAAGAUAUCGAUCCAGAGAAUGCCAUUAAAUUGGUUGAUUCAAGAACUAGUACGGGUUAAUUGAACCAAAUAAAAAUCAGUCAAAUUGAUUUUAAUACUUUCUUUUUUGAAUUUUUAAUGAUUUAUUUAAACAAAUUGGAUUGGAUCAAUUGAACCAAUCAAUUUAUCAACGAUAGUCUAGCUAAUUAGACUGUAUCUUGAUCGAUUCUCAGGAUUCGAAUGACUGAUUCGGCUCAAAUAUGAAAACUUUGGUUUAGUUAUCUUUCCCAGGAGGAUUCUUUGUUCUUUCUUUGUUCCCAUAUUUUAUUUUUUGUUGAUAUUUUAUAUUACUAAAAUCGAUACCACUAUGAGGAAAGAGUGUUUUUUAGAAUGGUGAUAUUUAUUAAACUAAAAAUAAUAUUUUAGGUGGCAGGUUUUUUAAUAAAUGAGAUAUAUUUUAUUUAAAAUUUGACUCUUGUGGUAAAUUUUCAGCAGUUGGUUUUAUUUGAGUUAAAUUCAGUCAAUCACUUUAUCAUAAUGAGUUAUGUGCAUUCAUUUUGUUGGUGAAAUCAAUAAAAAUAGAGUAAAUUAUGUAAAUAGUUAAUUAAUUGUUAGCUGUUUUUGUUUUGGUUAUUUAUAUUCAAGAUUUUUUAUUUUAAUUAUUAAUAUUAUCGAAAUUUAAUAUGUUUUUCACACAUCCCUUAAAUCACUAGCUAAAUGUUGACCUGAUGUUUUUUAUUGGCUUAUAUUAAUUUUAACUUUUUAUUGUUUAUAGAUUCUAUUAAUUUGGUACUAAUUUUAAAAAAUCAAGAAUUUAACUCUCAACUUUACACAUUCUGCUAAUUUAGUCUUGAUUCUUAAGAAUUAAAAAAAAUAAAAAUUUAAAAAUAAAAAAAUAAAAAAAAUACUUAAAAGUUUAUUUUUUUUUGAUAAAAAUGCAUACAAAAUUACAAAUAAAUACCCUUUCCCUUUUUCUAGCUUAAAUUUAUUUAUCAAAUAAAUAAUUUUAUAAAUAAAAUAAUUUCCUUAAAAAUCUAUAAACAAAGCCUAAACCAAAUUCAAACUUUUUUUUUAGUUUUAUUUUAUAAAUAAUAAUUUAUAUAUUAUAAGUUUGGUCUUGUUCUUAAUCCUCACCAAAUUUGUUGAGAGCUAAGCACCGCCUUCGCCCACGACCAACAGUACCAAUAACGAUUACUUUAAACUCCUCGAUUUAACAUCCUCCGUCAUCAUGCCAUCAAACUAGGAAUCGAUAGUGGAGCUGCAGGCAUGACCUUCUAUCUAUUGGGUCUCCAAGUCAUCAUCCUUACCUAUAUUAAUCCCUAAUCAUGUUCAUCAUUAAUCACAACCUCAAAACAGAACAAGCUCGUUUUGGGCACCAACCUAAAAGUUGGAACAUUUUCAAAUAUUUAUAGUGUUCUAAUAACUAUAAAUGUAUGGGUGUAAUUAAUCAAAAGUUAUAUUAUUUGAUUUUUUGAAAAAGAAUUAUAACUAUUUAAAUAAUAUUAUUUAAAUAGUUAUAAUAUUAAAUGUGUUUAUUUUAAAGAUAUUAUUAUUCAGAAAGACACUUAUUGAAAGAUGUCUCUAUGAAGAACUGUGAAAAUUCAUAUAAAUAGGAAUGAAUUUUCAUUUGGAAAACGCACCAACAAAUUCUAAUAUUCUUUCUUUCCUUCCUUCAUUUUCUAAUAUUAUUAUAUUAUUCUAUAAAGUAUUAUUGCAGAAAUCUUUUGUAGAAAUUGAGUUUUUUGUUAUACAUUGCUCAGUUCGUAGUUAACUAUUCUCAUCAGUGAAAAAUGCAAAUAGUCAUUAGCUUCAUUGUAUCCUUGAGGUUAAUUUGCUUGGAACUCAUUUGCACACCGAAGAUAGGUGGGGGCGAAUAUAACCUUAAAGAUAGUGGCUUAAUACAGGCCUUGAAGCCUUGUCCUAUUUCUUCUUUUUCUGUUCGAGUUCCAUUCGUGUGUUCGAGAUUUUCCUCACUGGAGAUUUGUAUUAACAAUUUUAAUGUUAUAUUUCAUGAUGACUACCACAACACAUGAAAGUGGAACACUAAGGGAGUUGGCUUCCAAAUUUGUCAAACUUGAUCGGUUUGAUAGUGACAAUUUUCGACGAUGGUAGAAAAAAAUGCACUUCUUAUUAUAACUUUGAAGAUUGCUUAUAUUUUAGAUACUCCUAGACCUAAAAAGAAUGAUAACGGAUCUGUUGCUGCAAACCGAGAAAGGUAAAAAUGGGACAAUCCUGAUUACAUGUGCAUGUGCCACAUAUUGAAUGGUUUAUUUGAUGGUUUGUUCGACACCUACCAAAACGAGGUCACCGCUAAAGAAUUAUGGGACAAAUUGGAGACAAGAUACAUGACUGAAGAUGUUACAAGUAAGAAAUUUCUUGUCAUUCUUUUUAAUAAUUAUCAAAUGGUUGAUGGUCGUUCUGUUAUGAAACAAUUUCAUGAUAUUGAAAAGAUGUUGAAUCAAUUCAAGCAAUAUGAUAUGAAAAUGGAUGAAAUGAUUGUUGUAUCCUCCAUAAUAGACAAACUUCAUUCAUCUUGGAAAGACUUUAAAAAAAGUAUAAAACAUAAGAAAGAGGAAAUAUCUCUUGAGGCUUUGGCAAAUAAUCUUUGGAUUGAAGAAGAAUAUCAAAAGUAAGAUCAGAACUUAAAUUCUGAAAAUAUCAAAGUGCAUGUUACGGAGGAAGUACAGACUACUAAACCAUUCAAGAAAAAGUUCAAACAAACUAAUAGAACACCUAAGUUCAAAAAGAAACAAAAGGGUUCAUGCUAUCAUUGUGGUAAGCCGGGUCAUUUCAAGAAUGAAUGUCGAUUUUUAAAGAAGAAAUCAUCUUAGGCUGAUAAUAAUGAGAAGUUCGUUGCAAUGAUAUCUGAAAUUAAUAUGGCACAAGAUGAUAAUACAUGGUGGAUUGAUAUCGGAGCAACCAAACAUGUUUGCAAAGACAAAAGUAUGUUCACAAAGUUCACACAAUGUGAAAAUGACAAUGUCUUGUACAUGAGAAAUUCUUCCACUGCAGCAAUCAAAGGCAAAGAGUCUGUUGAACUACAAUUCACUUCUAGAAAGGUUUUAACCUUAAAUGACGUAUAUUAUGUACCAGAAGUUAAGAAAAAUUUAGUGUCUGGAAGUCUUUUAAAUAAGUUUGGUUUAAAACUUGUUUUUGAGGUAGAUAAGUUUAUUUUGUCUAAGGGAGGAAUUUUUGUAGGGAAAUAGUAUAUAUGUAUGAGAGUAUGUUCAAACUUAAUAUUGUUAAUAAGAAUAAAAAUACUAUUUCUGCUUAUAUCGUUGAAUCUUUUUGUUUAUGGCAUUAUAGAUUAGGUCAUUUGAAUUAUAGAAAAUUGAAUGUCAUGAAUAAGUUAGAUUUAAUUCCUGUAUUUAAUAAUAAUAUUAAAAAAUGCAAUACAUGUAUGUUGACUAAAAUUACAAGAAACCUUUUCCCUAAGGUUAAAAGGAAAACAAAAUUGCUUAAUUUGAUACAUAAUGAUUUAUGUGACAUGCAUAAUAAUCCUACAUUAGGUGGAAAGAAAUAUUUUAUUAGUUUUAUUGAUGAUUGUUCUAGAUAUUGUUAUGUAUAUUUAUUGCAUUCAAAAGAUGAAGCGUUUGAUAAAUUUAAAGUUUAUAAAUUUGAAGUUGAACUUCAGUGUGAAUCAUUUAUCAAGUGCUUAAGAUUGGAUAGAGGUGGAAAAUACUAUAAUCUAAGUUAUUUUGAAUCUAUUAGAAUUGUCCAUCAAGUUUCAACCCCUUACACACAACAACAAUAUGGUGUAGUUGAAAGGAAAAAUAGAGUCUUGACUGAAAUGGUAAAUUCAAUGUUAUCAUAUUUAAGUUUUGUACAAGGUUUUUAGGGAGAAGCUGUUCUAACAGCUUGUCAUAUAUUGAAUAAAGUUUCUAAUAAGGAAACUAAAAUAAUCCCCUAUGAACAAUAGAAGGAAAGGAAACCAAACCUUAAUUAUUUGAAGGUUUAGGGUUGUAGAGUUAUUAUCAAAUUUCCAACACCUAAACGUAAAAAGUUAGGUGAAAGAGGAAUUGAAUGCAUAUUUAUAGGAUAUGCAUAUAAUAGCAAGGCAUAUAGGUUCAUGGUAAUUGAACCAAAUGAUUCAAUUUCAAUUAAUACUGUUAUUGAAUCAAGAAAUGCUAUUUUUGAUGAAAAUAGAUUUAUUUCUAUUUCAAGACAAUUACAGCCACAACAAUUGAUUCAUUCUUCAAAUGAGAAUGAGAUUCUAUUGGAACAAAUUGGUAAUAAUGAUAAAUCUUGUUAAGAAUUAAGAAGAAGUAAGAGGAUUAAAAAGGUCAAAGAUUUUGGACCAGAUUUCAUUAUGUUUCUUGUAAAAGGAAAAGGUGAAAGUAUACGCAAUAAAAUACCUUAUUGUUAUAAUACUGAAUUUGAUCUUAUUACAUUUGAAGAGGUAAUGAAAUCUCAAGACACUGCUUUUUGGAAAGAAGUAAUAAAUGAUGAGAUGGAUUCAAUAUUUAAGAAAUAAAACUUGGAUUUUAUUUGAUCUUCCACCGGGUUCUAAACCAAUAGGUUGUAAAUGGAUCUUCAAAAAAAAAAAUGAAGGUCGAUGGAACCAUUGAUAAAUUUAAUGCAAGGUUGGUAGCCAAAGAUUUUACACAAAAAUAAGGUAUUGAUUACUUUGAUACCUAUGCUCCAGUAGCAAGAAUUGCUACAAUUAGACUCUUAAUAUCACUCAAAUCUAUAUAUAAUUUGGUUGUUCACCAAAUGGAUGUAAAAACUACAUUUUUAAAUGGUGAAUUGGAAGAGGAAGUGUACAUGGAACAACCAGAAGGAUUUGUUGUUCUAGGACAAGAACAUAAAGUAUGUAAGCUUGUUAAAUCUUUAUAUGGACUUAAACAAGCACCAAAACAAUGGCACCAAAAGUUUGACAUGGUUGUUUUAGCUAAUGGCUGUAAAAUAAAUGAAUCUGAUAAGUGCAUAUAUAGCAAAUUUGAAAAUGGAAAAUGUGUCAUAAUUUGCUUAUAUACAGAUAACACGCUCAUUUUUGGCACGAAUUUGGAACAAAUAGAAAACACAAAGAAAUUCUUGUCAAACAACUUUGCUAUGAAGGAUAUGGGUGUAACAAAUGUUAUUUUUUGGAUUAAAAUAACCCGAGAUAAAAGCACUAUAGCUUUAUCACAAUCACAUUAUAUUGAAAAUGUGCUUAAAAAGUUUGAUUUUUUCAACUAUAUACCAGUAUCGACACCCAUGGAUCCUCAAAUAAAAUUAGUAUCUAAUACUGGUAGGAAAAUUGAUCAAUUGAAAUAUACAAGUCUAAUUGGUUGUCUUAUGUACAUAAUGACUUGUACAAGACCAGAUAUUGCAUAUGCUGUUAGAAAAUUGAGUAGGUACACAAGUAAUCCAAGUAAUUUGCAUUGCCAAGCUUUGAAUAGAGUACUUAGUUACUUAAAGAAAACUAUUUAGUUACUUAAAGAAAACUAUUAACUAUGGAUUGUGUUAUAAUGAAUAUCCUAUAAUUUUAGAAGGGUAUUCAGAUGCUAGUUGGAUUACAAGUUAGGAAGAUCAUGCAUCUACUAGUGGAUAGAUCUUCAUUCUUGGUGGAGGAGCCAUUUCUUGAGGUUCCAAGAAACAAACAUGUAUUACUGAUUCUAUCAUGAUAGCAGAAUUUAUUGUAUUAGCCACUGAAUCUAAAGAAGCAGAAUGGUUAAGAAAUUUUCUUUAUGUUAUACCUUUAUGGCCUAAGCCAAUUUUACCUAUUUCUAUCUGUUGUUAUAGUGAGGCUACUCUAGCAAAGGCAUAUAGCCAAGUAUAUAAUGGAAAGUCUAGAAAUAUUGGAUUAAAACAUAGCCAUGCCCGACAAUUAAUCUCCGAUGGAGUGAUCACUAUUAAUUAUGCGAGGUCAAGUGAAAAUUUGGCGGAUCCUUUGACAAAAAGUCUUGCUAGAGAUGUAAAAGUGACCUCAAAAGGGAUGAGACUCAAGCCUAUUAAUUAAAGUCACCCAUGAUGGAAACUCGACUCAAUGCUUGGUAUAACGUCAAGUCUUGAGUUUAAUGAGACAAAAUACAUUAUUAGUAUGUGACUGUUUGCACUAUAAAUAAAUCCAUCCUAAGAUUAAAAUACUAGGUACCCUUAAUGAUAAGGGAAGGGUGAGUAAUGUACUCUUAAUGGACCCAUAACAUAAAUAUGUUAGAGUGUUAUAAUUACGAGAACACUCUUGAUGGGAUCUACCUAUGUGAGUGGAAAUAUGGCCGCUUCUAGGAGCUCAAGGGCUUGGCUAUGACAACACUUAUGAAAAGAGGACACAGACACAUGGUCAUAAUAGUGUCCCUAGAUACUAUGCAUUAACCGAUGUUGAAAUCAUUGUGUGAGAUGUAUUCGGUUAAUCAAAUGAAAUAGUUUGUUCAAAGCUUAAUCUACCAUGCAAUUUCGAUUAACUUUAAUAUGUUUUCACUAAGUGAAGGUUUGAUCAUAAGAUAUAUUAAUUUGUGCAAAUUGAUUUCCAAGAAUAUCAAAAUCUAAAAUAUUUUGAAAAUGGGGGGAGAUUGUUGGAACAUUUUCAAAUAUUUAUAGUGUUCUAAUAACUAUAAAUGAAUGAGUGUAAUUAAUCAAAAGUUAUAUUAUUUGAUUUUUUGAAGAAGAAUUAUAACUAUUUAAAUAAUAUUAUUUGAAUAGUUAUAAUAUUAAAUGAAUAAUUAUGUAUUUAUUUUAAAGAAAUUAUUAUUUAGAAAGAAACCUAUUGAAAGAUAUCUUUACGAAGAGCCAUGAAAAUUUUUAUAAAUAGGAAUAAGAUUUCAUUUGAAAAACAAACCAACAAAUUCUAAUAUUCUUUGUUUCCUUUUUUUUUCUAAUAUUAUUAGAUUAUUCUAUAAAGUAUUACUGCAUAAAUCUUUUGUAAAAAUUAAGUUUCUUAUUAUAUUUUGCUCAGUGCGUAAUGAAUUAUUCUCGUCAAUGUAAAAUAAUGUAAAUAGUUAUUGUAUCGCAAAAAGGAAAUAGGAUCUUUAUCUGAAUACCGUCUGUUAACCAGUUUUUUGGAAAUUCGGUUUCGGAUAAUUGAACACCAUUAUAAGUGUAUUUAACAUGCAUUUCUCGAUUCCAAUCCGUUAAAUCCUCAGACCACUCAGGAAAUUGAAAUAAUAACAUACGGGCAAUGUUUUUAACUAUUAUCAGUGAAGGUAAUAUAAUAUAUUUUCUAAGAAUUGAUUGAGUUAUUAACACGGAGCCCCUUAUCACUUGAGCAAGUAAAAGACUAUCCCAAGCUUCUGCUAUUUCUAUCCUCAUUUUCUCUUCUCUUUUGUAUUUUUCUCUUUUGGCCUCGUUUUUUUUUCUCGAUCAUUUUUUCUGUAUAAUCAGAAAUUUUUGAUUCUUUGUUUUUACAUAUCUAAUUUCGAGAUAUUCGUUUCAGCGUUCUAGAAAUAUCAAAAGAAAAAAAGAGUGAUUUGUCUACUCUGUCCAAAAAAAAAGGGAAUGUACAUUUGCUUGAAACAGCUCCCAAGUAAUUGUUUUACGCCUUUGGGCACGCAUGGAACCCUUUAUUAUGUCGCGCCGAAAAUCCGAUUGUUGCGAAUGUUAAUUUACUUAGAACUCAUUCGCAAUAGCUGAUGGCGAAUAUAUUCUUAAAGAUAAUGGCUUGAUACACGCCUUGGCUACGAGUGUGAAUUGAACACGCAACCUUUAGAUCUUCAAUCUGAUGCUUGGAAUGAACCUGCUAAAGAGUUCGUGUUCUCUGCAAUGUUAAGGUCCUUAUCAUCGUCUCUUCAAUAUUGGCAAAAUAUUUGGGUUCUCCAUUUCUGGUUCAAAGCGAAACCUGUAGCUAGGUGCCCCAAACUUUAUUCUGCUGGUGUGUUUGAAGUUCGUUUUGCAUUAAGAACUUGUGCCUCCGUUUCAAAAAUUGAACUUCAGCCAAAAGGGUCAAUCUUUUAUCUUUCAAAACCUGCAAUCUCUUUCUCAAAGCCUCUGUUUCCUUGAGCAAUUCUUCGAAGUCUUGCAUAAGGCUGUGGAGAUUGAACCUAUUCCUUUGGUCCUCGUAUAUGGGGUAUGGAGAAUACUCCACAGAAGCAGUAACCCAUUUCAUCUUCUUCAUGUUUCAGAACACAGGGAUGAGAUUAAGAGACCCACAAAUAUGGAGAAGAGAAAGAGACAAAGGUAUUUGACAAGAAAUAAAGAGAUGAGGGCAAGAAAUAAUAAAAAAGGAAAGAAAAAGUGUUGAAAAAAAGAGGAAGGUUUUGGUUUCUCGUUGACUCUGUGAAAACUUUGACUAAGACAAAGAAGCCCACAUAACUGGGUAAAAAAAAAGAAAAGAAAAGGGGGAUCUUUAGAGGGUAGAGACAGCGAUAAAGAUGACUUUUGGGGGGAUUGCAGAAGGGUAUUUGUGGUAAAUAUGUUUUUAAUUGGUUUGAGAAAGUUGGAUGGAUUACAUUGAAAGACACCUAUAUUAUCAUCCCCCUAUCUAUUCUUUUUGGUUGAUCUUCUACAUAAAAACUUUGUUCCAGCAAAGCUGAGCUGGUUCAUUUAAGAAAGAGGGUGAUGUGUAGAUUGAGUUUUGGAGAGUGGGUGCGUGGAGUUUUCCCCAUGUUUCUUUUUGGUUGAGGAGCAGCGGUGCCUAGUGGUGAUGGAGAAAUGUCGAGAGGAAGCGAGCAGCAUCAGCAGAAGAUACAUGCAUCAAUUGCAAAUUCACGGUUUUAUGGUUUUCUACCUCUAAUCGCUUUUAAGCUCCCACAUAUCUAUUUAUUCUCUAAUCUAAUUUAUUUAUUUCCUUUUAGAAUUUGAUUUUUUACUUUGAGAAGUUAAGUUAUAUUCUAGGGAGCAUUUGAUUUUAGGGGUUUCAGUUUGGAAUUUCUUUACCUGUGAUGGCCGUGGUAUAUUUAUUGACUCUAAUGAAAGAGCUUUGUCUCUGGCCCAUGUUUACAAACUCAAAGCUACAUGCCUGUUGUUGUUUCUCCUUCUCAAAACAUAUUUCUGCAAACGGCUGGAGCACAUUCGUGGACUCAACCUGGUGGUGGUGCUCUUUACAUGGGAUAGUAGGUAAGCCCUAAUGUAACUGAAUAUAAUUUUUACAUGUUAAUUGUUAUGUUUGCAUGAUCUUUAUCCAUAAUGGACCUAGCAAAUGAGAAAUCCAAUUUAAUUUACAUGUUUUGUUGCUUGACUAAACACGAUCUCACAGCGUGGAGAUGGCUGUGUCUAGUAUCAAGUUUGGUUAUUGCCAAGUUGAAAAAGAAUCGUUGAAAAAUUAGUACAAGUUUACUUUUAGUUUUUGAAGGACUUGUAGGUCUGUUGUUAUCUGUCAACAUAAUGUAGUUAAUGGCUUGUAAAUAAUUCACCAUGAGGGCUUAUAUUAUGUUUACAUGUAGCACAAUUAAAAGACACCAGCUUGCGACAUGUUUUACUUUGAAGUUAACUGUUUAAUGCUAGUCUCAAAGCUGUUAAUCUAUAUUCAAGAGAGUUAUUUUCUUAUUAAUGAAAUAAAUAGAAUUUAUACUUAACCUAUGAUAUUUGGAUCUGUCUCUAAUGAGUACUCCCUUCGACGAGUUGAACUUUAUACAGGAUAGGUCGUUCAAGAAACAAUAACAAAUGGGAUCUACUUCUUCUUACUAUUUUGAUGAGAUAUCCAUUUUUAUCUCUAAAUAAGUGUUACUAAGCUUGGUAACUUUUUGGUCGUUUGUUUAGCAGUUUUGGUUAAUGGUAAGUUUUUAUAAACAUGGACAUUUUGCCUUUUAGCAGAGGCAUUUACACGUGCAGAUCUCUGCGGCCUUUUGAUAUAAAGUUACUUUUUGAAGAUAUAUUAUUUUCGCAUAUCCUUUACUAGGAUGGCGUGCAGGAUUAGUGAUAACUGGUUUGUUUUGUUUAAAAAAGAGCAUAUAGUUCAUAUAUGAUAUUUUUUUUAUGCGAAAUUGGUUUUUGUAUACGCUAACAUUUUGUAGGUAAGAUCAAACUAAAUCACCUAUAGUAGAUGUUAUCCUCUCUAAUUUUCUCCCCUCUGCUUAAGUUUAGGUUAUGUAUUACUGCAUACGAUAGAUACUGGUUGUUUGAACUUUGCAAUAUAUGAAGACUUGUUUACUCAGUUUUCACACCUGAACUUCUUCCUUUGUCAUCUCCUUUGAUUUUUUUUCCUAUGUGGUAUUUCAUCACCAGGUAUACUGUGCAACCUAACAUUUUAUUGCCUUUGCAUUUCUAAGCUAUAUAAAGCUUCCAUACUAGUUUGCAUGUUAUUCACAGAAUUAGAUUGAGAACAAGUUCAUCGUAUGAAAUUUCAACAUGAAUGUUAUUUAAUUAGAUAUUUUUAUACUUUCUGCCUUCUUUUGUUUUUGUUGAUGUUUUUAACAGUUCGCUCGGCACUCAUAUCGCGACCUUCUAUGUCCAACACAGUUAGCAAGAACGAAGCUCCCAACUGUCAUAUUAAGGCUCGCAGGUGAAGAGCCGCAGCCCCCAAAAAGUUAGCGAGAGUAAAGCUCCCAACUGUUAUAUUUAGGCUUGCAGGUGAAGAGCCGUAGUCUCCAACAUAGUUAGCGAGAGCAAAGCUCCUAACUGUCAUAUUAGGCUCGCAGGUGAAGAGUCGCAGCCUCAGCCUCCAACACAAUUAGCGAGAACAAAGCUCCCAGCUGUCAUAUUAAAGCUUGUAGGUGAAGAGCUGCAGUCUCCAACACAAUUAACAACUUAAAAGCUCCCAGCUGUUAUAUAGGGGCUCGCAGGUGAAAAAUCGUAGCCAUAACACAAUUAGCGAGAGUUAAAAGCUCCUAGUUGUCAUACUAGGGCUCGCAAGUGAAAAACUGCAGCCCCUAAAAUAACUCACGGAUUAACAUUUCCAGUUGAUCAUUUCUAAAUAUUUGCCUAAGUAUAGAACAACUCGUGGACCUAAUUCUUUGCUGAUAUUUUAAAGGCUCGCUAGUUUAAUAUUGCAACCUCUAAAAUAGCUUGCGGACCUACGUUCCCGGCUCAUAUUAUAGAGUUUAGUUGAUUUAAAAUUGCAACCUUCAAUUAUUCGAGUUAGCUGAUUUAAGAUCGCAGUCUCCAAACAUCUUGCUGAUUUAAGAUCGAAACUGAUAUAGAAUAAUUCUCUCUGAGCCCGCUAAUUUACAAAUUUUUUCUUACGGAAAAUACAGUUCACAAUAUUCUGUAUCACAAUUCUUAACUUUUGUUCCACACUAUCGGAUAACAAAAAUUGUUCAAUAAAGUUUCAAGUUAAAACUUAUAUAGUAAGCCCCAAAGCUAUAAGUGUAAGCUUGUUUUAGAAGAAUUACUUUAUAACACUUCUUCAACAAAAUAAGGGACAAAUUGUUAUAUAAUUAUAAGAGAAUAAAAAUGACCCGACUCGAGGUCCGACCUGAUAUAAUAAAAGGAAACCCUGGACCCCAAAGUGUGGGGGGCUCCUUCCUGUCUGUUUUUUGGUUCUCUACUCUUGGAGAAUGAAGCCACGCACCCCAUCCCCUUUUCACCAACUGUUGAUCCAAUGCAUCAAUAAAAAUAUAAAAAUAUCGUUUAUUAAAAUCAAGAGAUUAAAAUACCCUCACCUUAUUUUGUUGUUACAAUUUUAGUUUAAACUUUUGAGUAAUUUUAAAAUAGAAUACUUCAUUUAUUUUAAGUAAUCGUUUUUGAUACAUAACUUACUUUUAGACAUAACACUUCCCCAACUUUUAAGUUGAAAGUAGGGUGAAGUUAAUAAAAUUUUAAGGGUUUACGACAGUACUUUCACUAUUUUAAUAAUUUAUAUCUUUAUAAAUUUUAAAUGAUUAAAUAAAAAAAUUUAUAAUUUUUAAGAAGUUAAAGAGUAAUUUUAUCAUUACUAAUUUAAAAUUUUAUGACCUAUAUAAAAAAAAUUUCAUUUUAGGAGUCCAGACUCAUGCUAGCUCCUUUGACUUCCCCACUAAUUGAAAAAAAAAAUACUUAAUAAGGUUUAAACCAAGGUCCUAUAUUUUAAAGAAAUUAAAAAAGAUUAUUUAAAAUAUUUUGGUAUAAGGUUUAAAAACAAUGAAGCCUGCGGUAGUAGUGAUGUUGAAAUGUAAUCUUGGCGUUGGGGUAUUAUUGGUAACUCCAUUUAUAGGCAUGCAAGCAAAAUCUCUAGAUUGAGAUUACCUAUGAAAACCCUAAAUUUCACCCUUUUCUUUCUCCAAACCCCAUUCAUGCCUGCUAAAUCAAGUUUGCUGCCGUUUCAGUUUAUUAAAGGCCCAUCAGCUUUUUAUUUUGGUGACCCAUUUAAUUACUGAAGGAGGUUAUUCAUUUUUGGGUUCUACCCUAUCUUUGGUUUUCUUUAACAACAAUAUAUCAAAAAAGAAUUAUAAUUUAUAUUUAAAAUACAUAUUUAAAUUUUAAUUAAUUUAUAAUAAAUAAUGAAAAGAAUGAUUUGAAUUUAAUCAAUAAUAAUACAUUAAAUAUGUAUUAUAUUAAAAUAAAAAAUAGUUUAAAUUAUAAUUAAAAUAAAAUUUAAAUACAUGAAUACAUCAAAUUAAGAUUACUAAAUAAAUAUAAUUAUUUAUCAUGGUUUUGUUAUCAAUUCUAAAUUACUGCCGAGUUAAUUUGUGACAACAUCUCAGCUAAUUAAUAUAUAAAAUUGAUGAAUAUAAUAAAAUGCGUAUAAUAAAAUUAAAAUGUAUAAAAAUAUUAAAAUAAAAUUUUGGUUGAAUGAUAAAUUUAAGAUUUUUCUAACCUAAUUGUCAUGACUUCAAAUCUCAUUGUAUGGAUAUUUUUAUUCUAAAUAAAAAGGCUAACGUACCCUUAAAUAAUAUAAUUUUAAUAUUUUAAUUUCAAUUGUUAAUAUCAUUAAGUUUUUCUAUUCAAUUCGUUGGAAUAACAUCAUGAAUUUUUUUUUAAAAAAAACUUACAUGGUAACCAUAUAACAAAAAAGGUAUUUGGAUUAAUCAAUGACAUUGUAAAAGUUGAGUACCAAAUUAUGUCAACACUUAAAUUUGAGCGUUGUAUAGGGACCUAAAAUUGAAACUUGACCGUUGUUAUAUAUAUAUGUCACUUUGCCACGUUCAUAUUUUUUUUUUGCCCAGACGUUUAUAAAUAGUUGAAAAAAACAUUUUUAACCUUCCAACUACAAAUAACCUUCUUUAUAUUUGGACACUUGUCAACAUACAAAGGAUAUGAUAGUAAAAUAAUAAGAUAACUAUCAAAUAUAAGUAUGUAAAUUAUUUGAACUAAUGCUAUUGUAAAAGUAGAUGAUCAAAUUAUGUAAAAUUAAAAUAUAAAGAUUAAAUAUCAAAUGUGAGUACAAUAGAGAAAUUAAAACUAUAAUUUUACUAUUAUCUUAUAAUUACUAAAAAAUGGGGAAAACCAUGUCAUUAGUUAGUGUAAAUAAUUAGCAAUUUUAAAAAUUUUGGUAGUUGAUGUAAAUUUUGUAAAAAGGUUUAUUCCAACUCAUCAUUCCAAAAUAAGUUUUUUGUUAGAAUUUUUUUAAAAAUUCACUUAAAUUUUUUAUUAUAAAAGUGACUUAAAUUUUUUAUUAUCAAAGUGAUCAAUAAUAUUAAGUAUUUGAACUAAACAUUAUAAAAGGGGCCAAAUUAUUGUAGAAAUUAAAAUAUAAAGAUUAAAUAUUACUUUUAGGCUUAGUAGAGGGACUAAAAGUGAUAUUUGGUCAAUUUUCUAUAAAAUGCAAAAAAAUAAGAGAAAGACUUGACAUGUGUCAAGUAGAGGGGCCAAAAGUGAUAUUUGACCAAUUUUUAUAUUGAUUUUUUUUAUAAAUUUGUUACGUAAUUUUUUUUCAUCCAUAUCGUUAGUAUACCGUAAUCUAAUAUAUAAUUAGAAACAUUCAAAUUGGGUAUUAAAAAAAUGAGGAAAAAUAAAGAAAAGUGAGGGAUUCUCAAUUCCCUCCACUUUCCCUACUCCUUUACUUUCCCUACCAUGUAAAAAAUAGGUUAACGAAACAAGGAAAAAAAUAUUUUCCCUUGAGUUACUUAAUUUUCCUUUCCUUACCCCAAUCCAAACAUAGUGUUAUUUAGCAAUAUUGUAACACCUACACCCGACCCGAUCGUCGGGUCUGAACUUCAAGAUGCCACAUUCGCUACUGAAGAAACUACGAUCACUUAUAUUCAAAUUCCAUCAUUAGACAUUUGGAUACGAGUAUUACAUGCAUAAAACACGAUAUAUAAUAAUUUCUAGGUCAUUUACAAGCUUACGAAAGCUCAAUACCAACCCAGAGUCAUACAAGGACUAAACUACAAUGUUUUCAAAACUUCCCAGAAUGGUGUCGUGACCUUGAAGAAAAUAAGCAAUCUUCUCAACAUGAGAACCAAAUUGUAAAUUUUCCAAAAUAAUACAGAGUCAACAUCACGACAUUAAGCAGGGGAUGUCGCGACAAGGAGAGCUAAUGUCGUGACUUACUUGGUAGUCUAGUAAGUUCACAAUUUCUUUUGAUUCAACCUAACAUAUAACAACAAUGUUUGGCCUGAAGGCCCCAAUCAACCAUUCAACACAAAUAGACAUGCUCAUCAUGCCAUUUUCAAGCCAUUAACACCUUUACUAUACAUAAGCAUUAACCAUUUCAUUUCAUUCAUAACAUCAUUUCCCAAUUUGACCAUUUACAAUAUGAACUAGAUAUCCUUAGGCACAUGUCAUUGACAAAAUGAAAAGAGUUAAUACAAAUAUAGUUGAGCUGAAAGUUGCGAUCUAGAUUCCGACGUCACUUUUAGGGGCUUCAGGAAAUACAUAUACCUGUGCACGAAAUAAACAAACUGUACGUUGAACAACAAAGCUCAGUGGUACUUUCAUAAUUCAAGAUAUUAUAACAUAACAUUAGCAAUUUAGCAUACUAUACAUAAUAUCAAUAUCUACCAAUACACACUUCAUAAAUGCAACACAAUUUGUUAUAUUAUACAAAUAUGAGCAUUCUUAUAGCAAUGAGAAACCAAUCUACUCAACAUUUCAUCAUUUCAUAUCAACCUUUAGGGCUCAUUUUCAAUUGAUUUGCACAAGUUAAAUGCUUUCUUUAUUACAAUUCACAUAUACAUAUAUUUGGUUCCAUUGCAUCAUAUAAUUUCAUUUUGGUAUCGUUUAUCAAGCUUACAGUUUAUACAGCUAUUAACUUGACUCGAACGGAUACACAGAUAAUCCAACCAACACAGCAAACUGACACCGAAGUGCAUCAUUGGAUAAAUCGAAGUAGGGGAAAUUGGCACAUAUAGUGCAUACUGGCACAGGAAUUGCAUCCUGGCACAUAGACGUAUAGCCUUGUACAUAAUCUAAUCCUAUGACAUUCUAACUAUAUCCUAAUCAACUUGAACAACUAAUAGGGUACCAAUGUUCAAUUUUAUUUUACAAUUCAAUACAUAUAUCAUUUUUCAAUCACUAUCAUAUUCAUAAUCCAAUUCAUUAUCAAUACACAUUAAAUAUCAUGUCAUACAUAUUUCCUUUCAAUUUCCAUAUCAUAUUUCAUAUUCCAAGUAAUUCAUGCCAUUUUCUAUUUUAUUCAUUUUAGUCCUCUAUCUCGUUAAUGUUGGAAAAAAUUCAGUUUGAAAAUGGUUUUCUUGCACAGUUGAAAAUAAAAUUUUUGAAAAUUGAGCCAAUCUGUGAUAUUUAUAGCAAUAAACCCUUUACCAAAAUCACACCUAUGCUUUUGGUUAGAUGGAUCCUCAUCGUUUUUGGCUUUCAACCAAACGACCUUCUCCGUUAUUCGCUUACCAUGAACUACUUUGAGUGUGGGCUCGAACGGUUCGAAUAAAAUCCAUAACCAAAUAUAGUUUUUUUACUUUUAGUGUGAUAGCAAAAUCUAUCUCAAUAAAAAACGACCAAAUUGCUAUUCUAGAAAAUAAAAUUAAUACUUAAAGAAUAAACUCUCACUAUUUUUAGGUAGCAUAACAAUAUAUCAAAUUUGUGUAUUUAGCCCUACUGGUGUCAUCUAUUUAUAGGGAGAAAAUGUGAAAUCUUUGUUGCAUUGUAGAAGUCUAUUUCAAUAGAAAAGCGAACUCCUAGCUUAACUAAGAUUAGCUUGGGUGGAAAUCAGCAAACUAGGGUUUGCUAUCCCUAGCAUUAAACAUGAGGGCCUUCUGGGUCUCUCCCAUAUUAAGUCCAAUUACAACUACUUCCUGAACUUUUAAUCCAAUACUUUAUAAUUCAAUCCAACCUGAUAUUUGUUUUUCUAUUUUCUAAAAUAAACAUCUUAAAUUAAUUUAAAUUAAUUAAUUUCUCAAUUAAUUAAUUUUCUCAACCUAAUUCUAAUUUUGUUAAAAAAAUAAUUUAUGAAAAAAUAUAUUUAAUAUUUCUAUAUUCAACAGAUUCACUAUGACCAAUUAAUUUAUUUCUAUUUUUGAACUUUAAUUAUUUAAUUAAUCAAUUAAAUAAUAAUUCAAAAAACCAUAAAUUAAUUAUUCAGGUCAUUUCCAUUUAGAGAAAAUCACAUUCAUUUUCAAAUGUUUCCCAUUUCUAUAACUUUAUCAUUUCCAUCCAUUUAUGUUCAUUUGAUUCAACAUGCAAUUCAUUUCUGGUUUCAUUGAACUAGUGGAUGGAUCGAUUGGACAUAUAUGAUUAGGGCUCAAAUGAUUUAUAAUUAAGUUCUAACUUUCACCUAUUAAUUAUAAAUUCAUUUAGUCAUGAAGUCAUUCCACUAUAGUAUCAUGACCGAACUCUCUCUAAUGGCAUACCGUUACGAAAGCAACUCGACCAGUUCUCAUCCAAUGACCUUGUCAUAAGUGAGUUACCUUCAUAGGAUAUCAUUAAUUUCUUUGGAAUAAAUCUGUUCUCCCAAUAUGAUCUUAUUUUAUCUCAUGGUAACCAUUACAUCUUCCUUCAUGAAAAGUUAAUCACUAUUACAUAGUAAUUAAGUCAUUCAUCACAAAGAGGAACAACCUGUGACCACAUUUACUUUUCAUUUACCAUGUAAUACCAAUGAGAAGAUAUCAUUUACCCAUAUCUCGGGCUUGAAUUCCACUAUUGUGAAUGACACUACAUACUACAGAAGUCGUACCCAAUGUACUAACUUUCGGUUCCUUAUCUAUUUGAAAUCAGGCUUUUACUUACAUCAAAUUAUACGAGUCACGCAUACUAAGUCUUGUUAGAAAAAGAAUUUAGUUUGAAAGCAAUUUUGUUGCACAACGAAAAAUAAAAGAUUUUGAAAACCAACCCAGUUUGUGAUAUUUAUAGCAAUAAAACUUUUACUGAAAUUACACUUGUGUUUUCAACUAGACGGAUCCUUGUUGAUUUCGGCUUUCAACCGAAUGACCUUCUCUACUAUUCUCAUACUACAAACUGCUUCGAGUGUGGGUUUGAAUGAUUCGAAUCGAGCACAGAACCAUAAAUGGUUUUCUUUAGUUUUAGUGUGAAAAAAAAAUCUCCUCUAUAAAAAUCGGUAGAAUUGUUAUUCCAAAAAAUAUAUUUAAUACAUAGUGAAUAAACUCUCAUUAUUUUCAAGUAGAGUAACAAUAUCUUAGAGUUGUGUAUUUUUCCCUAACAGUGCCAUCUAUUUAUAGGUAGAAUAAAUAAAACCCUUGUUCAAUUGUAGAAGCAUAUUUCAAAUAGAAAAACACACUUCUAGUCUAACUAGAUGUAUAGGGUGCGACAACCCUAGUUAAUAAUACUAGGUUUUGCUAUCCCUCCCUUUUAACAUGAGGGGCUUUUGGGCCUCUCUCUUACCGGUUCCAAUCGCAAAUAUUCAUGAACUUUUAACCCAAUACUUUAUAAUUUGAUCCAACCCGAUUGUAACAACCUAUUUUCAAUGGUGUUGGAAAGAGUGGUUUCGGGAUCACAAUUCCAACAAGUGAGUCCGUAAAUGUUAUUAAUAUAUUAAUUAAUAUAUCAGACUCAAGGAGGAGCAAAUAUUUCUAAUUUUUGAAAAUAUUCAAUUUGUUUUCAACAUUUUCGAGUUCUAGUUUAACUGUCUUUAUUAAUGUAUUACUAUUUUGGUUGAAUGUUGAUACACAGUCUAAUUAGCCAUGAGUUAGGUGUGUUAAGGACAAAGUAUCCUGUAGGCAAUUAUAGUAAUCCAAAAAUCCUGAUAGUAGAACCCCUUGUAGAAAAUAAGAAAACAAAGAAUGUUUCCUUUCCUUAGAAGAACUAAUUCUUCUGCAAGCUUUACUUCCAAUCAAUCCCAAGAGUCUGACCAAACCUCAAAUAACACUAUUAAUGAACAAUAAGAACAUUAUAAAAAUAUUCCCAAAGAUUAGAUAAUUGGACUCUCCCAAGAGUUCCAACAAACCAAGUUUAUAAGAAAAUAACUUUUGAAAAUUUAAAUGCUUUUUGUAGUUACAUUAUAAAAACAAAAGAAAUAAAUUUACCUAGUAAAAAAGAAUAUGAAACAAUCCAAUUAUUAUAUAAGGUCGCCAUUAAUAAACUUAAAGAACAAAAAUAUAAAUAUGUCCAUUUUGGAUUAGUCUAAGUUGGUGUCAAACCUCUUAGUUUUGAAGCCACUAAAAAUACCUCAAUUUUAAUUGUCUUAAGAGACCAGAGACAUAUUGUGUUUAAUGACUCAUUACUAGGUACUAUAGAAACAACCCUAUGUUGUAACACCCUAUACCCAGCUCGGUUGCCAAGCUCGAGUAACAGGAUGCUACACCACCGUCUCACAUUGUGCACAUCAUGCAUUGUCACAUUUCAUGCAAACAUCUUUUUAUCUUGGCAUUUAUACAACUUUUAAAUCAUACAUAUACUAAUUAUCAAUAUAACAUGCAAAAUCUACCUUAAUCGAGCUUAUGACAUCAAUUAAAUAGGCUUUAUGACCACUGAGCAAAAAUUUCAAAAUUGUUACGUAGGUAUCGAUGCUGAAGGAGUGGUAUCGAUACUCCUAUCAAGUGGUAUUGAUACCGCUUGGAAAAUUGAUACCAAAACUGCUUACUGUUUCUUGUUUAAAAACCAAAGUCACGAAAAUUAUCGGUCCCAUUGAAAAAGUAUCGCUAAUUUUACCUCGAGUAUCGAUACUCGUGAUAAAAUAUCGAUACCAAUUAACAAAACUUUUUCCUGCACUUUUGAAAAUCAUAGAGAUAUUGUUUUUAAAACUUGAAUAUCGAUACCUCUGCUCCAGACCAUAAAAAUAAAAUAGUUCCAAGCAUAUAAUAAAUACUAACUUAAAUCCAAACAUCAUGCAUCAUUUACCUCAUUAAAUAGACACCAAAAAAUCCAAAAUAACAACCCAAAACCUCAUAAUCAUGCCAAGCAAGAAACCAAUAAGAACAUGCUUUAAGUCCAUAAGUUCUAAGCAAAAUAAACAUGUAAACAACUUAAAAAUAAUAGCAUAUAGUCUACCACAUUUCCUUUAUUCCCCAAACAUAGAUAAUCAGAUAAACACCUACGAAUAACUACUAAAGUUUUGGCUUGGAUCACCCCUCGAAGACCACACCACUCAUACCGGCACUACUUAAUUGCAAUGGUUUAAAAGUGAGUAGGUGAGCUUAACAAGCUCAGUGAAUGCUCAAAAUAACUACCAUGCAAACAAGUCAUCAUGCAUUAACAACAAUCAUAUAACAUAUUCACAAUAUUACCAACUUUAAUGUCAUAUUAUAUAUGCUUUACAUAUUUCAUGGGUCCAUUUACACAUUAAUAUUUAAGCAUAAAUCACAUUAAUAUUUAAGCAUAAAACACAUUAAAUUUUAAACAUAAAUCAUAUUAAGUUCUAACACAUUUAAUAAUAGUUUGGCUCUUGAGGUUAUGAAACAUAAAAAGCACACUAUUACCAUACAUCGGAUAUAUAGAUCUCCAAACACACCAAAUGACUCAUAGAGUCAAACAUGUCCCAUAAGUGAAGCAUAUAGCUAACUCUCUCAAACACACCAAAUAUAUCUCAUUGAAUGGAGCUUAAGUCACAUUCUUUAUCUCUCCAAACAUGUCCCAAGGCCUCAAUGGCCAAAUCACAUAUACAUAUAGGUGAGUACUCACAAUCCUAUGGUAUGCCAACUAUAUCCAAUGGUCUCAUAAGGUCACAAGGCCAAAAUAUCCACAUUAUAAUCACACUUUUACUUACCAAUUUUUUGCACAUAAUCACUACAUAGCCACAUUAUUAGCACAAUAUAUUCAUUGUUGCUUGGCAUGGAUAACAUGCCUACAUAUUCACUUUCACAACAGUCAUCACAACAUAUUCGUAUAACAUCACAUCUUAGUUCUCUUUAUCACAAUUACACAAGCACAUUUAUCACAUAUUAAGCAUAGGUAUGGGAACACUUACACUUAGAAUUUAGAGUAAGGGUUUAGGCUACUUUUAAAUUCUCAAUUAACACAAUGAAUCAUCUACAAGCAGCUAUUCCAAAAAACUCACCAGUUACGCUUUCGCCGAAAAGCUAAAAGCUCAAAUCAGCUUUUCCUUGCCUUUACCUCUACUCGUAGAAGGUCCUAUCAAUUCCAAUGGUUCAACAAAGUAAAUCACCCAACAACACAAUCAACAUUCAGCCAAAAACUCACAUCAAACAAUCCAAAAACACAAGCCUAAGCUAGGUUCUCUUUUGACCGAAACCUUUGAUAUAGAAAACUUAAAAUUUGAAUAUCUCAGUCUAUACUUAAUAUUUUUUUCCUGAAAUGAAUUCUAUUCAUCUAAUUAUUUUCCUACGACUGAUUCUCAACCUUUAAACUUCGCAAAACUACUCAAUUCAUGGUAUCAAAAUUUUUCGACGUACAAUAGGCAUUUUUCAUGAAAACUAAUUAAUACCUUAGAAAUCGUUAAUGAAACUUUAAUGUAAGAACUUUAAUGUAAGUUUAGAAACCUUCUAAUAAUGUUAAAACAAGUUGAACAACACUUUGAAACCAUGUUUUUAACCAAAAUCCUGAAAUCCAACAUUAAAGACCCAAUUUUCGGCUUUUAUUUAAAACAUGUGAUUUAAUGGCUAAAAAUUCUGUUUAAAAGACCAGAUAUCAUUUAAAACUGACUAGGAAUUGAAUCGUUACCUUAGUUGAUGAAAAACUGAGUGUUUGAUCGAAAAACCGAAAAACCCACAAGCUUGACAAUGGAGGAAUCUAUGGUGUUUUUGGGUGUUUUUCUUAGAUUUUAUGGAGGUUUAAUGAUUUGGAAAGUGAUAGGAAUCAAAGGAAUUUAGGUUUGGCAAAGAAAUUGAAUGGAAGAGUUUGGAAAAAAAGGGACAGCAAGAACAAGUUAUGGAGAAGAACUAAUGUGAAAAUGAAACUAUAAAUGGGGGUUUUUAAGGUUGAAUUUUAAAAUAUGGUCUAAUUCCCUUUUAAAAACUCUAAUUUUUGACACUUUUACAAAUCAGUCCUAUUUUAAAAAUAAAGGUAUUUUAAACUCAUUUUCAGAAAUUGAUUUAAUUUUCUAAAAGUCAUAGACGAAAACAUUUUCGGUUACCACGUUUACAAAAUUCUGAUCACAUAAGAGCUAAAAUUCUCAUUUUACCCUAAAAACUUCUUGUAACACCCCUGAGCUGUACCCGAGAUCGGGACAAGGUAUGAUGCAUUACCGUACAUAGACAAGGCAUUUUCAAAACACAUGGGUCAUCAAAUUUCAUUCAAAAUUAAAACCAAUCAAACAAAAUCAUAUUAUCCUUAUUAUGGACCUACGAGGUCCCAAAAAAACAUUAAAAACAAUCCGGGACUAAUCCGAGAACUUAAGAGAAUUCUAAGAAAAUUUCUAGGGCUGAGCCUUACACGCCCGUGUGGAGGAAAUGCACACGCCCCUGUUCUUUGGGACACGCCUGUGUCCCUUACCCGUGUGGGAUUUCUAAAACUUAUUUUUCAUUUCGAACCUACAGGGGUUUUCACAAGGCCGAGCACACGCCCGUGUCCUUAGCCCGUGUCCCUCACACAGCCUAGACACGCCCGUGUCCAAAAACCUAGACAUUUUGUUUAUUACGUCAUCACUUAUUUAAGGGCACACGGCCAUGCACACGCCCGCGUUCUAGGCCGUGUCCUUCACACGGUUGAGACACAUGACCGUGUCUCUACCCGUGUGUUUACUACCAUGCAAACUGACUUAGAAAUUUUAGAUGCAGGGGACACACGGCUGAGCAACACGCCCAAGGGGAUGACCGUGUGUCACACAUAGCCUAGACAUAUGCCCAUGUGUCUACCCGUGUGGACCUUUUUGGAGGCUAUUUUCCAAGCCAUUGGUCACCCUCAAUCAAUCAUAUAUUCAAACAUACUUUACAACAUGCAACAUGACAUAUUUAUACACUCAAACAUUGUACACCAUAGCACUCUCACAUCUUCAUAAUGGCAUCUUAUUGCACCCUCAUUUGUUACACCAUUUAGAGGCAUUCCAUUCCCUUUUCAUGCAUUAUUAAACUUGUUACCAUAAGCUCAAAUUGUGUACUCAUGCACAUAGUCAUUUUAAGUCAUUAGGUCACCCUUUAACCUUUAGUACUUAAUCCACGCUUUACCAUACAUUCAUCAAGCAAUAACAUAUCCUACCAUCAAGACACUAACACAUGCAUGCAUGGGUAAUUAGAUUACAACCCAAAUGACCAAACAUGAGCCAUAUCACAUGACAAUUACAAAAGAAUCAUCAUCAUCAUAGGCCUUCACAAAUUGGCCAAAUAACAUGACACAUAUCACAAAAUGACCAAGUUUCUAUACAUGCCAUACUCAAAAUAAUAAUUUCACUAUACCCAAUAGUCUUUUGAUAGUGUGAUCGAGUACUCCGACAGCUUUCGAUCCCUGAGCUAGCUUGGCAGAACUACAAAGAAUGGAAGAGAGAGGGGAGUAAGCAUUAAAGCUUAGUAAGUCUACAUACAAAUAAUAUGUGAUAGUGGUAAAGAAUAACAUGCAAAAACAUGAUAGCAUAUACAUAAAGAUUAUUCUUCAUUCAAACCUCUUUACUUACUCAUCAUAUGCAUAUACAUACUUGCUCAUCUUAAAUCGACCUUUAUGAAAGCAUUACUCAUAGGUUUAACAUACGUACCUGUACUCAUUGUAGAGUAUCAAUAACCAUACCUCUUUCAUAUGCCCUCCUCAGGACUUUCAUUACAAUCGUUACAUUACCUGUUGAACACUCGAAAUACUAUUGGAUACGCGGAAACCUUGCACAUAAGUGCCACAUAUAUAAAUGUAGCCGAAGCUACCACAUAACAUGUAACACAUCCAUAAUGAACUCGGACCUCUCAACGAGCUAGGAUGUUACAUGAAUCGCAUCCAUCAUGAACUCAAACCACUCAACGAGCGACGCUCGCAUCCAUAAUGAACUUGGACCUCUCAACGAGCUCGGAUGCUACGUACCUCACGAACCCGGACCGCUCAAAAAGUUCGGACUUCUUAGUUCCUAGUGACAUGUCACUUGUAUUUUAAACUAUUCCUAAGGUUCAAAUAGGAUUUUUCCUCACUUGCAUAUAGUAUCUCCAUCAUACUUGCUCGUAACGUCGUGGAUAACGACUAUAAUAAUAUUCAUGCUUUCAUAACAAUCAGCAAUCAUAUAACUCAUAAUUACAAUAAAACAUUUAUUACAAUAUAUUAAAGCAUUAAAACAUACUAUAAUGCCACAUUAUUUACAUAUGUACUUACCUCGGUAUAAAACGAUGAUAAUCGAGCCUAGUCAUCGUAUACUUUAUUCUUUCCUUGAUCAAGUCCCCAUUCAUGUUUUUCUUGAUCUAUAAUGCCAAAAUUAACUUAUUUAUUAAUCAUUGUUGAAAUGGGUCUAUAAAUCAUAUUUUUGCAAAUUUACAUUUUGACCCCUAAACUUUCACAUAUUUACGAUUUAGCCUUAGGUUCGUAAAAUGAAAUGCAUGCAUUUUCUUGAUUACCCAAGCUUGGCUGAACUUCUUCUAUGCUCAUAUCAGCCCAUAUUUUAUUUUAUUUCACAUUAUUACUACUCACUUUCCCACUUUUACAAAAAGUCCCUUGUUUAGGUGUUUUUACUAAAAAUCACCUAAUAAAAGAUGUUCACCAUGCAUCAAACAUUCUUAUUCCUCCAUGAAUUAUCAAAAAACAAACAUGUCAUGCAUGGGUAAAUUUUCAUACAUGAACCCUAGCUCAAAAUAUAGCUAGAAAUGGGUAGAUCAUGUUACCGGGACUUCAAAAAUACGAAGAACAUUAAAAACGGGGCUAGAGAACACUUACUAUUGAGCUUGGAAAUGUUGAAAAAAACCUUAGCUAUGGUGUUUUUUUAUUUUCAGCAGCCAAGGAGGAAGAUGGGCACAUUUUUUGUUUGAUUUUCCCUUUUUAUUCUUUUAAUUACCUAAUGGCCAUAAUGCCUUUAGGGUUUCUCUUUUCAAUUUUUUUCUAUGCAUUUCCAUUUUUGUCUAAAAUUUUAGAAAUUGGUCAAAUUUCUAAUUAGGACCUUCUAAUUCAUAAUCUAAUGCAAUUUCAUGCUUAAAGCUUUUAGAAUGCAAGUUUUGCGCUUUAUUCAAUUUGAUCCCUAAAAUGCAAUUAGACAUUUUAUGCAUAGAAUUUUCUUCAUGAAACUUUCACACAAGCAUGUGUUCGUAACAUAAACCUCAUAAUAAUCAUAAAAUAAUUAUUUCUAUCUCGAAUUUGUGGUUUCGCAACCACUAUUCUGACUGGGCCGUAAUUCGGGAUGUUACACUUCUAGGCUUAAUUUUGGGGUAUAACAUAUGUACUAGGCCAAUACAUUUUAAUUGUUACCAAAAUUUUAUUUUUUUUAACCGAUAAUUUACAAUAUUUGACCCUCCAAAUUCAUACCCAUAAUUACAAAAUGCUUCUUGGAUCAGAAGUACUAACUUUAGUCUAUUGGCUUAAGUUCAAAGUUAUGUAUUCUAUAGUUAAUACCUAGGCUUUACUUCAAAGCCUAAAAGGAGAAAUCAUUUUAAUAGAAACAUAUAUCUUAAGAUCUCAUACCACAAUCCUAAGAAGAAUACAAUGGCAUGAAAUCAACCUUUUUGAAAGGUGGAAACUUGAAGGUGCUACAGACCCUUUUGUACAAACUCCUAUUAGAAACACUUUAUUAAGUGAAAUUUCCCAACACCAAGAUGAAACAUUUGAAUUGAUAUUCAAUAGGCCAAUGAAAAUGCCUCCAAGACAUUCCUUUGAAAUAAGAAGUACCAACACAACUUUUAGGAGGUUAAAUUUAGAAGAAGAAUCAAAUCUAGAAGUACAAUCAGAAGAUUUUAGGACACCUUUUAAGACCAAUUUACAAUGAAUAAAUAAUUCCUAAAAUAUAGCUCAACCUAUCUGUGUCAGACAGGAAGAAAGCCCCCAAAAUUUACCUGAUAUGUCACCAACAUACUCAUCAAUGACUAGUAAUGCAAGACAAGGAGAAAAUUCAAAAAUAUUUAUUCUAGAAAAAUAUUUUGAAAUCAAUAAAGAAUGGUGUAUAAAACACUUCUAUUCCAAAAAAAAAAGCAAAAAAGAGAAGAUUACUUUAAAAAUUAUAAUAAUAAAAAAGAGAGUAUUCUUCAGGAAUAUUAUGAAUUCAUGAUUUCCCAUAAAAUUCAUAUAAAAUUAUUUAAAUGGUUUGAAGAAUAUUAUUCAGAAUCUAUUAAUACAAUAAAAAAUAAUCCUAGAUGACAAACUAAUAAAAGAGAAGUUAAAUCUCAACAUCCCCUUUUAAUGGAGGUUUAAUAUUUUCACAAGAAUACUAGAAUAAAAGCAAAUCCUUUAAGAAUGAUAGCUCCUGAUGCAGGAGAAUAAAUCUCAUCAAAAGAUAUUAAAAUUAUAGUAGAAAAAAACAACUAUAUCAAUAUCCAUCUUCAUAUAAUAGGAAAACAAUUAGAUUAUAUUGAAAAUUUGGUAGAAUGUCAACCAAUAAAGAAAGAAUAAGUAAAAGAGGCUCUGAAAAAAGUUCUACAGAACUAAUAUUUACACCUUAUAGAAUUCCAAAACCUUUCCAAAAAUCCCAAAAUGAUUUCUUAACAGAAAUCCAAAAUAGACUUGAUGCCUUGGAAAGUUAGAAGUCUAAAUUAGUUGCACCUGAUACCUCAAUCCAAGUCCAAUACUCAGUAAAUACAUUAUACCAAUCUUCCCAAUUUGACUUUGACCAGUCAGAUGAACAAUAAAUUAACAAAAUGGCUUGGAAAGAAUAAAAAAUGCUAUAUUAUCCAAAAAUCAUUGCACCUAAUCUUAAUAUAGAAUAAAACUUGUUUUCCAAAAUAAAUACAAUGCUAAUACAAUUUAUGAAUAGAAUAUAGACGGAAUAUCUAAUAUAAUACUCCCAAUUUAUUUCAACAAAUGCCAAUGGUUUCAAAUGUUUAUAAAUCUCAAAACCAAAAUGGAUUAAUUAGUGAUUAUGUUAUAGUCAAUUUUUUAAUUGUUGGUUUACUGGUCAUAAAGGAUGGUGGGACCCUGCACUUACUAAAACACAACAAGAAGAAAUCUUGAAAGUAAUAAGAAAAUAUAUUCAAUGAAGAAUUAUUUUGGAUGAACCAAGAAGAGAAAUCCAAGAUGCAGUACCAUAACAGAAACAAAUCUCUUUUUUAAAAAGAAGAAAUGUUUUAAAAAAUUGAUUGAACAAUUAGAAAAAAGAGAAGUCCAAAAAAAUUGAUAAAUCAAAUAAAAGAUGAAAUAGAAUGAACAAUUUGUUCUGACAUUCCUAAUGCUUUUUUGAAAAUAGGAAAAAACAUGAAGUAACAUUACCAUAUCAAAAUAAUUUUGAUGAAAGACGAAUGCCAGCAAAAGGAAGGUCAAUACAAAUGAACAAAGAAACGGAAGAAUUGUGUUUAAAAGAAAUACAAGAUCUUCUUAAUAAAAAAAAUAAUCAGGAAAAGCAGUUCUCUUUAGAGUUGUUCAGCAUUUUAUGUAUUGAAAAAUGAAGAACUCGAAAGAGAAACACCAAUAUUAGUAAUUAAGUACAAACCUCUCAAUUAAGCUUUAAAAUGGAUUAGGUGCCCAAUCUCAAAUAAAAAAAGGUUUGUUACAAAAACUUUGCAAUUCAAAUAUUUUCUCAAAAUUUGACAUGAAAUCAGGAUUUUGGAAAAUCCAAAAAAAAGAAGAAGAAAGAUACAAAAUGACAUUUACUGUACCAUUUGGACAAUAUGAUGGAAUGUGAUGCCUUUUGGAUUAAAAAAAUACUUCAUCUAAAUUUCAAAGAAUAAUGAAUUUCAUGUCAUUCAAAACCGAAAAUUCAUUAUUCCAUUAAUAAAUAAUCCAAAAGGCAUCACAUUCUAUUCAUAUUGUCCAAAUGGUAUAGUAAAUUUUGUUUUGUAUCCUUCUUCUUCUUUUAUUUGGAUUUGUCAAAAUCCUGGUUUCAUGUUAAAUUUUGAGAAAAUCUUUGCAUUGCAGAGUUUUGUAUCAAAUAUUUUUUAUUUGGGAUUGGUACCUAAUCCAUUUUAAAGCUUCAUUAAGAGGUUUGUAAUUAAUUACUAAUCUUGCCAUUCUUUUUUCAAGUUCUGCAUUUUUUAUUACAUAAAAGGUUGAACAACUCCAAUGACAACUGCUUUUCUUGAUUAAUUUUUUAUUAAUAAGAUAUUAUAUUUCUUUUUUACAAAUUCUUUCAUUUCUUUGUUCAAUUGUAUUGACCUCGCUUUUGUUGGUAUUUGUCUUUCAGAAAAAUUAUUUUCAUAUAGUAAAGUUACUUCAUGCUUUUUCCUAUUCCAAAAAGCAUUAAGAAUUUCCAAACAAAUUAUUGAUUCUAUUUCUUCUUUGAUUUGAUUUAUCCUUUUUUGAACUUCUCUUUUUUCUAAUUGUUUAGUUAAUUUUUUAAAACAUAUUUCUUUUUUAAAAAAAAGAGAUUUGCUUAUGUUUAUGAUUAAUUAAAUUAUUGAUUUGUCCAUUAUAGAUGGAUAAAUAUUUUAAUAAGUUGAGAUUUCUUAUUUUGGGUUUUUCUACAAAAUAAAAUUCUACUUUAGUGUUUAAAAAUUUGUUAGGGAUUGAAUUAUUUGUUACUUUAUAUGGCUUGAGUAAGGAUAUGAAUGAUGUUCCUAAUAUUCUUUGUAAUUUGUCUAUUUUUUUUUCAAUAUUUAUUAAAUAUUAUGUCUUGUAUAUUAUACAUUUGUGAUUGAUUAGAGAUAAUUUUUUUUUCUUUUUUGGGUUUAUCUUUUAAUGAGGAUUUUAAUUUCAAAAGAUAUUCUCUUUUAAGUUCUGGGUCUUGAAUUUUAUCAAGAACUUCAAUCAUGAACUCUUGGGUUUUAGUUAACAUAUUAAUUGAAGGUUCAUUUUCAUCAGAGGAUUGGGGUGUUGUAUGUAAUUCGUUUAUUUGUAAUUCAUCUGAUUCAAUAGAUGUAUCAUUUUCAAAGGAAGUUGUUUCUAAAAGAAUUUCAUUAGUUUUUUUGUUCAAUUUCUUCAUGCAGAUUUAAAUUAUUGAUCUUUCUUUUAAUCUUGCAAUAUUUUGAUAUGUGUCCUGGUUUUCCACAUCUGUAACAUUUUAUUGUUUUAUCUAUUUUAUGUUCUAAUUUUUCUUUUGUUUCUUUUCUAUAUUUUCUAUACUUGGGCUUUUUAUAAUAUUUUGAAAUAUUCUUUCUCCUAUUCUUUUUUUUACCGUGCAACAUGUUUUUGAAGAAGGUUUAUUUCUAAUGUCAAAUUAGCGGCAGAAUGAUCCUAAUUCCUUUCUACAUCUUUCUUUUUUAAGUUGUUUUGUAAUUUUAAAUCUUGACAAAUUUUUAAUCCUUUGGGUGAAACUAAUUAAUUCACCAUAUGUAAGUUUUCCAUAUGGAAUAAUACCUCUGUAAUUUUCUCUAAUUUGAUUUCUAACCUUUUCUCUUAAUAAAAUGGAAAGUCUUGCUAGAAACUUUUCUUUUCAAAAUGGUUGUUGGUUAUCAGAUCUUUGCAUAACUCUGGUCAUAAAGAUAUCUUUAUACCAUUUAAAAUCAGUUAAUUUUUUGCAUUUUAAAUUUGAUAAUAAUUCAAAUUUUCUAUCUUUAAGAUGAGAAGGAUCUUCUAUAAGGUGUUUAGAGAUUAAGAAAAUUAGGGUUGCUACUUCAUCUUAGAUUUCUCUUCCUUGUUCAUCCAAAUUAAUUCUUUCUUGAUCAUCUUUUUUAUUACUUUCAAGAUUUCUUCUUGUUGGGUUUUAGUGAGUGCAUGGCCCUACCAUCCUUUUAAUUGACCAGUAAACCAUCAACUAAAAGAUUGACUAUAACAUGGUCACUAAUUAAUCCAUUUUGGUUUUGAGCUUUAUAAACAUUUGAAACCAUUGUCAUUUGCUGUAAUAAACAGAGAAUAUUAUUAUUCAAACAUUCCGUCUAUAUUCCAUUCACAAAUUGUAUUUGUAUUGUAUUAUUUUGGAAAAUAAGUUUUUCUUCUAUAUUAAGAUCAGUUGUAGUGAUUUUUGGAUAAUAUAAUCUUUUUGGUUCUUUCCAAGCCAUUUUGUUAAUUUUUUCUUCAUCUGACUGGUUAGGUUCAGAUUGGGAAGAUUGGUGUAUUGUAUUUACUGAGUAUUGGGCUUGCGUUGGGUAUCAGGUUCAACUAAUUCAGACUUGUAACUUUCCAAAGCGUCAAGUCUAUUUUGGAUUUUUGUUAAGAAAUUAUUAUGGGAUUUUUGAAAAGGUUUUGGAAUUUCAUUGGGUGUAAAUAUUAGUUCUUUAGAACUCUUUUCAGUUACCUCUUUUAUUGAUUCUUUCUUUAUUGGUUGACUUUUUACUAAAUUUUUAAUAUAAUCUAAUUGUUUUCCUAUUGUAUAAAGAUUGAUAUUGAUAUAGUUGUUUUGUUCUACUAUCAUUUUAAUAUCUUUUAAUGAGGUUUAUUUUCUUGCAUCAAGAGCUCUCAUUCUUAAAGGACUUGCUUUUAUUUCAGUAUUUUUGUGAAAAGAUUGAACCUCCAUUAAAAGGGGAUGUUGAGAUUCUACUUCUCCUUUAUUGGUUUUGUCAUCUAGUAUUAUCUUUUUAUCGUAUUAAUAGAUUCUACAUAAUAUUAUUCAAACCAUUCAAUGAAUUUUAUAUGAAUUUUAUGGGAAAUCAUGAAUUCAUAAUAUGCCUAAAGAAUACUCUCCUUUUUAUUUUUAUGAUUUUUAAAGUAAUCUUAUCUUUUUUGUUUAUUUUAUUUGGAUUAGAAGUGUUUUCUACACCAUUUUUUUUAUCUCAAAAGAUUUUUCUUGAACAAAUAUUUCUAAAUUUUGUCCUUGUCUUGCAUUAUUAGUCAUUGAUGAGUAUGUUGGUGACAUAUUAGGUUUCCUGUUUGGCAUAGAUAGGUUGAGCUAUAUUUGAAGAAUUAUCUAUUCCUUGUAAAUUAGUCCUAAAUGUUGUUGGGAUAGAAGAAACAGAAACUCUAGCUGUCCUAAAUCUACCGUUUAUGUUUCUGGAUUUGAUUCUUUUUCUAAAUUUAACCUCUUAAAAGUUGUGCUGUUACUUUCUAUUUCAAAGAAAUGUUUUGGAGGCAUUCUUAGUGGCUUGUUGAAUAUCAAUUCAACUGUGCCACUUUGGAGUUUGGAAAUUUCACUUAGUGAAGUGUUUCUAAUAGGAGUUGGUGCAAUAGGGUCUGUAGCACCUUAAAGUUUCCACCUAACAGGAAGGUUGAUUUUAUGCCAUUGUAUUCUUCUUGGGAUUGUGGUAUGAGAUCUUGAGGUAUCUGUUCCUAUUAAAAGGGUUUCUCCUUUGGGGCUUUGAAGUAAAGCCUUAGUAUUGACUACAUAAUACAUAACUUUGAAAUGGAGCUGAUAGACUAAAGAUAGAACUUCUGAACUAGGAAGCAUUUUGUAACUAUGGGUAUGAAUUUGGAGGGUCAAAGAUUGUAAAAUAUUUCCAUCAGUUAAAGAAACCAUAGAAUUUGGGUAACAAUCUAAAUGUAUUGGGCCAGGAAGUAUGCUUGUUUCUAUAGUUCCUAGUAAUGAGUCAUUAAAUAUAAUGUGUCUCUCUUCUUUUAAGAUAAUUAAUAUUGAGAUACUUUUAGUGGCUUAAACACUAAGAGGUUUGAUACCAACUUGGACUAAUCCAAAAUGGACAUAUUGAUAUUUUUGUUCUUUGAGUUUAUUAAUAAUGACCUUAUCUAAUAAUUGGAUUGUUUCAUAUUCUUUUUAAAUAGGUAAAAUUUUUUCUUUUGUUUUGAAUAGGUAAAUUGAGGUGUUACUAGGCUUUAGUAUGAUAUUGGUAUGGUGAUGCUUAAAUAAUGAAUGAUGUGUACGAUAAGUAGGCAUUGGAUUGGAUUGGAUUUGGUUGAAAUGUGGCAUAUUGGUUAGGCAUUUUAAGUUGUCUUUUUGGAAUGUUAAUAUUUAUAUUUUAAGUAAGUUUUGAUGUUAAUGAAAGAGUGCAUUUUAAGUCUUAUUGAAUGUUUACACAAAACUAGGCAUUUGGAGACAUAUUCUUGACCACACGGUUUGACACACGGUCGUGUGUUACAUACGGGCUAGUGACAUUGUAACACCUCUAACCUGUCUCCAUCGUCAGAUUAGGGUUACAAAGCAUUACUAAACAAUCUAAACAACAUUUAAAUCAUAACAUUAAAUAAACUAAUCUCAUUAAAAAUCAAUCAAACAUAUGCAUUUGGUCCCUAAAUCGAGCCUUCGAAGCCAUAAAAGUAGCUUAGAAGCAAUUCGGGACUAAUUUCAAACAAAACAGAAGAUUUGGGAAAAAGUUGAAAAAUUUGAAAAAAAGGGUCACACAGCUGUGUGGCUAGGUUGUGUGACACAUCCCAGGUCGUGUAACAAUAAAAAAAAGGGACACACGGCCAUGUCUCCACCCGUGUAACUCAUUGAGUUGGGUCACACGGUCGUGUCACAUGCCGUGUGCUAGAUCGUGUAACUCUCUAAUUUGCAACACAUGGUUGUGUCGCAGGCCAUGUGCUAGGUUGUGUAAGUCACUGAAUUAAUACAAUAAGAAUUUACAAAUGACACACGCCCGUGUAGCCAGGCCGUGUGUGUCACACGGGCAUGUGACAAUCCGUGUCUCAGGUCGUGUGAUCCAUAUUUUGACCUUAAAAACAUUCCCUUUCAAGGCCAAGACAUACCUAACCAUCCAUCCCAUUUGUGCACACAUUCAAUUGACCUAAACAUCAUUUAAACACUUAUAAACAUACCAUUUCAAACAAACUAUUUCAUCUAACCAAUAUGCCACUCAAAGGCAUCACAUAUAUAUAUCAAAACAUCAUUAAUCAACAAAUCAAUAUGACCAUACUUCAAGCACAAAACCUAGUUCGUUUAUCUACCAAUUGAUAUCAUCAAUGGCCAUUUACAUGCCAUCAUAACAUACCAAAAAAGUGUCUUAUAAACAAGCACUUAAGAAUGGCCAAAGAUGACCUAACUUGUCAAGGUUCCAAAGCUCAUCAAACCAAACAUAAACUUCAAAAGCAUAUACAUACCAAAUCAACCAUUACACAUUCAAGAACUACCAUAAUAAAAGGGUCCUAUACAUGCCAUUUAUAAUCAUGGCCAAGAUACACAAAAACUAUUGAAAUGAUUGCUAGAUAAUGUGAUAGAUUUUUGACAAGCCUCCAACUGAUCAAGCUUUCGAUACUUUAUAAAAUAAAGGAAAGUAACUAUGUAAGCAACUAGCGCUUAGUAAGCUCAUAUAAACUCAGAGAUAACUUACCAUUUCUUUAGUACAAACUAUAGAAUAAGCAUAAUAUCAUUACCAAGACCAUAAGCUUAGUAAAAGCCUAUACAAGUAUCAUUAAACUCACAAGUUAGUAGGUUCAUCGAUGAUACAUAUGAGUUCAAUCAUAUAAUAAGUAUAUUUCAUAUACAUAUCAUUUAACUCAUCAACCUUUUCAUAAGAACAUGAACCAUUUCAAUUAUAUACUUAUCAUGUCAUUUCCUUUACUUACCUGUUGAACCAUCUAGAAUUACAUCGGAUACUCGAGAAUGCUCACACAUAGUAUGCCUUUCCAUAUAACUGUAACCUUUCCUUUUCAAUAGUGCUCACACGAAUUGUGAAACAGGCCUACUCAAAUGAGCUGUAGGUCGGAAUGUUAGCUUCACUAUGCUGCUCAUAUGAGCUGUGGAGAAUCCGCAACAAAUGCAAAACCUCAGCCAUCGACAAUACAUUCAAGAUCAGCACCCGAAACAUGAAAUCCCUAAUGACAUGUCAUACGUAUCCUAAAAAUUCUUAAGAUUCAAACGGGAUUCAUUUUUUGUUAAUUACUCAAAACAUCGAUUCAUAAGCAUUUUCAAGUCCAUUUAUAUUAACACAAUAUAGUAAAUAAUCAAUUUAGCUGUCAUGAAAAUGAUUAUAAUUCAUACGAACUCACCUCGAUAACUAUAGUCAUAGAACUUGAGUUGAAAACUAAUCUGAAGCUUUUGCCUUUCCUCGACUUCAAUCCGGUUGUUGUUUAUCUUGAUCAUGCAUUUGAAAUAAACCUUUGUCAAACUCUCUUCCUUCUCUAAUGGCCAUUUUAGGUUUUUGAAACAAAGAUGGUUUCUUUUAUCUUUUAUUUACUUAAUUUUUCUUUUAUUUACUAAAUUAUUGCUUUAACCUUACUAUUAAUAAAAAAUUUCAAUAAACCUUAUGCAUAACUAUCCACUAACUUAAUUAUGGUAUAUUUACCAUCUAAGUACAUUAACUUUCCUUUCCAUGCCAUUUAACCCUUUAGACUAAUAGAUACUCACUUUUGUAACUUUUACGAUUUAGUUAUUUUUACCUAAUUUCCCAUUUAAACUUCAAAAUUUAUUAACGAAAUGUUAAUACGACCUUAAUAUAAUCACGUAGACAUUAGAUAAAUAAUAAAAUAAUAACUCACUCAUCAAAAUUGUGGUCCCAAAACUAUUGUUUCUAACACCACUAAAAUUGGGCCGUUACAGACAUGAUCGUAUGCUUUUUUGGAAUUGGAAUGAUAGUGUCCCUUAUAGUCACCAAUUAGUUACAUGGCCUAGCCACACGACCGUGUGACUAUAGCACACACAAAAGCUGUCAAAAUGGUUGCUGGAUAGUGUGAUAGAUCUCCAACAAGCUUCUAACCGAUCAAGCUUUCGAUAAUCUAUAAAAUAAAGGAAAGUAACUAUGUAAGCAACUAGUGCUUAGUAAGCUCGUAUAAACUCAAAGAUAACUUACGAUUUCUUUAGUACAAACUAUAGAUUAACCAUAAUAUCAUUGCCAAUACAAUAAGCUUAGUAAAAGCCUAUACAAGCACGGUCAAACUCAAAAAUUAGUAGGUUCAUCGAUGAUACAUAUGAGUUCAAUCAUAUAAUAAGUAGAUUUCAUAUACAUACCAUUUAACUCAUUAACCUUUUCAUAAGAACAUGAACCAUUUCAAUUUUAAACUUACCAUGCCAUUUCCUUUACUUACCCGUUGAACCAUCUAGAAUUACAUCGGAUACUCGGGAAUACUUACAUAUAGUGUGCCUUUCCAUAUGACCGUAACCUUUCCUUUUCAAUAGUGCUCACAUGAGCUAUAAAAUGGGCUUGCUCACACGAGCUGUGGGUCGUGAUACGUGAUAUUCAUGACAUGUUUUAAAAAUUUAUAAUUAAUCAUUCUUGAAACUAACUAUUAUCACGAUGAAGGCAAGUGUACCUAUCGAAUAGUAGUAUAGCUUUAGCAAGACCGGAUUGUUAAACCCAAAGGAACCAAUAGUACUAGUAAUUACUUUUUUUAUUAUGUAGCCUAAAAAUUAUGGGAUUUGUUUAUCUAAACUAAUUAACUAAACUAAGAGUGCAUAGAGAGAGAUUGGGGAAAAUCUUUUGGGAAAAUUCAAUUGAUUAAGACAAUACCCAAGGAAAAAUCCACCUAGACUUCACUUAUUAUUUGGCUCUGAAUCAGACGAUUUAUUCAUUUGACUUGAUCCGUAGAAAUCCAUAAGUUAUAUUAUUAUCUCUCUCGAGACUAAUAUCUCUAACCCUAGGUUGAUUAAUUGAAAUCUCUUUCUAAUUAAUGCCCUAGUGUUGCAUUAACUCGAUCUAUGGAUCCCCUUAUUAGGUUUCACCCUAAUCCAGCAAAAUCUUAUCACCCUAUCUCUAGGCGUGCAUCAACUCCGCUUAAUUAUGAAAAAUUUACUCUUAGAUAGGUACUUUUGCUCCUCUGAAUAACCGCAUUAACUUGAAUCAAUAUCCUGGAAUAUUAAGACAAGAAUUAAGGACACAUAAUUAAGGACAAGUCAAAUAUUUAUCAUACAAUUCAGAUAAUAAUAACAAAAUCCAUCUUAGGUUUCAUUCCCCUUAUAUAAAAUAAAACAUCUCAGAAGAAUGAUGAAUACAGAACAUAAAGAAAACCCAAAACCCCUGAAUGGAAAUUGAAGGGAGAUCUUCAAUCUUGACGAUGAAUCCGGCUUCUGAGAUGGAUCAAUCAGCUUCCCUUGAGUAAUUCCUUGCCUCCUACUCUGUGUGUUUGUUCUAAGUGCCUCCUCAGUUGUUUAAAUAGGCUUUAGAAUGCCUAAGAGCCCUCAAAACUGGCCUUUUCCGAAUAGGACUAUACUUGGGCUCGACAGGGACACGCCUGUGUGACACGCCAGUGUGCGAUUGCUCCAGACUAUGGUCAAAGCUGUUAAAUAGGCACGGGCGUGUAGUCUGCCCGUGUAAGUCGUGCUUCGAUCCUGCCAAAUGGACACGGCCAUGUGAGGAAGUCCAGGCUGUGUUGAUUUCCCAUGUGGGUCCAUUUUCUCCGUUUUUGGCCCGUUUCUCGCUCUUUUUACUCUCCUAUGCUCACCUAAGUAUAAAACAUGAAAUUAAAGAAUUAGGAGCAUCGGAUUCACCAAAUCUAAGGAGAAACCAUCCAUAAAUGUGCUAAGAAUGGGAUAAAAAUAUGUAUAAAUUACGAUUUAUCAGGUCGAAAUGUUAGCUACACGAUGUUGCUCACACGAGUUGUGGAGAAUCUGCAACAAAUGCAAGACCUCAAGCAUCGGUAGGAAAUUCAAGACCAAGACUCGAAACAUGAAAUCCCUAAUGACAUGUCAUUCGUAUCCUAAGAAUUCUUAAGGUUCAAACGAGAUUCAUUUUCCAUUAAUUACUCAAAACAUUGAUUCAUAAGCAUUUUCAAUUCCAUUUAUAUUAACACAAUAUAGUAAAUAAUCAAUUUAGCUAUCAUUAAUACAAUUAUAAUUCACAUGAACUUACCUCAAUAACUAUUGUAGUAGAAGUUGAGCUGAAAACUAAUCUAAAGCUUUCGCCUUUCCUCGACUUAAAUCAGAUUGUUGUUUAUCUUGAUCAUGCAUUUGAAAUAAGCCUUUGUCGAACUCUCGUCCUUCUCCAAUGGCUAUUUUAGGUUUUUUGAAACAAAGAUGGAGAAGAAAACAUCUUUCUUUUAUCUUUUAUUUACUUAAAUUUUCUUUUAUUUACUAAAUUACUACUUUAACCUUACGAUUAAUAAAAUUUUUUUAGUAAAACCUUGUCCAUAACUAUCCACUAACUUAAUUAUGGUAUAUUUACCAUCUAAGUACAUUAAUUUUCUUUUCCAUAGCCAUUUAUCCCUUUAGACUAAUAGAUACUCACUUUUGCAACCUUUACGAUUUAGUCAUUUUUACUUAAUUAACUAUUUAAACUUCAAAAUUUAUUAAUGAAACUUUAAUACAGCCUUCAUAUAAUCCCGUAGACAUUAAAUAAAUAAUAAAAUAAUAACUCACUUGUCAGAAUUAUGGUAACAAAAUCACUAUUUCUGAUACCACUGAAAUUGGGUUUUUACAACUUUCCCCCUAAAUGAAUUUUCGUCCCAAACAGUCUUACUAGAAAAUAGGUUCAGGUAUUGCACUUUCAUGGCUUCUUCCAGUUCCCAUGUAGCUUCCUCAACUCCAUGAUGUUUUCAGAGAAUUUUAACUAAUGCUAUACGUUUAUUCCUUAACUCUUUAACUUCUCGAGCUAAAAUUUUAAUUGUUUAUUCACUGUACGACAUAUCUGGCUAAAUUUCAAGAUCAACCAGUUAAAUCAUGUGUGAACAAUUAGACAGAUACUGUAACACCCUUACCCGUGUCUGACGUCAGGACAGGGUACGAGGCAUUACUGGACUUAAACGUAAGCAAACAUAUAAAAUUGAGCCAUAAAAUUUCAUCCAAAUUUAAAGCUUUUCAAUCACAUACAGAUUGUCCCUUAUAAGGGCCUACGAGGCCCAAAACAUACAUCAGAAGCGGUUCGAGACUAAUCCGAAAACUUUCAGGACCUCGGGAUAACUUAGAAAAUUUUCUUGUUUUAGAGAGUCAAACAUCCUUGUAGGUAGGCCGUGUGAUCACACAAGCUCGUGUCCUUAGCUCGUGUAACUCUCUAACUAUGAUGCCAUCAAAAAAAUAAGAUCACACGGCCAAAUCACAUGCCCGUGUGCUUAGGCCGUGUGGCGAAUUAAAUUCCAAAAUUUAAGUGCAGACUUCACACGGCCUGGGCACAUGCCAAUGUCCUAAGGCCGUAUCCUUCACACAGCUGAGACGCACAGCCGUGUCUCUGCCUGUGUGUUUACUACUGGACAUCCUGUUUUGCAUAAUUAGGGUGCAGGGGACACAUAGCCGGAUCACUUGCCCAUGGGGCAGACUGUGUGACACAACGGCCUAGACACAUGCUCGUGUGGCUAACCGUGUGGACAAUUUCUAGGCUAUUUUCCAAGCCAUUUGCCACCCUUAAACACUCACAUACUCACACUUCCUUAAUGACAUACAACAUGGCAUAUUUGAUUACUCAAGCACUCACAUUUAUGGUUAAAUUAUGACAUGGUAAGGUCAACAUAUCACCUAUUCAAAUUGUCAUGCUUUCAUAUAGCAUUCCACACUAAUUCCAUAUUUAUCUAUCAUCAUUGCUAACCUACUUUCAAGUUACACACUUGCACCACAUUUAUUGUCAUACACAUUAAUCACAUCUCAUACACCAAACAUACAUGCUAUCCAUCACACUCAUUAACCAUAAGCAACCAUAACCACAUUAAAGCAUAAACACAUUUGCAUGCAUGCAUCAAUAAUUAGGGUUAUAACCUAAAUAAUCAAUAUGAGUUACCUCUGAUGGCCAUAUACACAAUGAUCAUAAAUCCCAUCAGGAACCAACACACUUGGCUAAUCAAUAUGACACAUAACAAAAAGACCAAGUCCCUAUACAUGCCAUACUCAAAAUGAUAAGACUAACUAUACCCAAAUAUUCAAUUGAUAGUGUGAUCGAGUCUCCAACGUCCUUCGAUCCCCGAUCUAGCUUGGCGACACUAUAAGAAAACGAAAGGAAGGGGGUAAGGAUUAAAGCUUAGUAAGUUCACAUGCAAAUAAGAUGCAUCUUAAACAAGCUUAGUAAGUUCACAUGCAAAUUACGGUUUAUCAAAUAUGCCCACACUUAAGCGUUUGCUUGUCCUCAAGCAAAAUCCUCAAUUCACAAUCAAAAUAAACUCUUCUCAACUUAUAAUCCCUAUCGAUAAUAUCUCAAAGUAAACCAUAAGUAGUCAUACAUUGAGAAUUCAACUAGAAUAACAUCAAAGUUUCAAACAUUCCAAGCUGAGCAUUUUAUCACGAAAGCAUAGGUGUCUCCCCUCAUUUAAGUGAUUACCCUUGAUUCAAAAUAUCACAAUGUUUAACAUCCUCACUAAAGAUUCACUCAAAUCAAUUGAGGUGUUUAAGGACAAUAAAUAAAGCACUCAUUAGUCAAUAUGAAACGUUAUUACCAUACGCUUGCAUGAAAAUCAAAUCUCCACCACUAUAAAUUGAGAUGGUACAUCAAUCAAAAGAUAUUUAGAGAGUUGUAAUGUGGCUUUGGUAAUGGGGUGUGGUCGCAAGCUGAAAGAAAAUGUUAGAAUCGAGAUUGAAUUGAAAAAUUACCUAACUAGAAAAAUAACUAAUCAUUAAUUGAAUACAAGUGAGCUUCAAUUAAUACUUAAGCUAAAAAAAACGAUGAAUAACUACUAAAAUAUAUGUAUGUAUUGUAUUAUUAUUAUUGUUAUUAUCAUUAUUAUUUAGAACAAGUCAAAUAACAUAGGCUAUCUAUUAAAAAUAAAACAUAUCUAAGCAAUUUAUUCAAAUCAAAUCUCGAAAAAAAUAGGGAUCAAAUUAAUUUAGGGGAUUUCAACAAUAAUGGGUUAAAGGUUAAUGUUGAGGGUAAAUCAAUGAUUGGAUUGUUAGGCUCAAGGGGGUUCACUAAGGGUUAAUUGUGAAGGUAGGCUUUUAUGGAGUGAGUAGGUUAAACUUAAAUGCCUUUAUCAUCUAGACAUAUCAAAUCAAAUGGUGUGGUCUUGACAUGCAUAAUCAAGCAAGUUCUAGAAUGACAAUUCAAUAUUGACGCACUCAAAGCAACAAUAAAAGUGAGCAUGAAAGAAACAAUAGAUGCUCUAAAGGCUCAAGAUCUCACAAAAAUUAUGGCUUUUUGAUGUUUAAACCUAUGAAUUUCAACUCAAGAUAAUACCUAAACUUGGGGAAACAACCUAAAAAUUUUUAAUUCUCAAAAAUCAACUUUAUCAUGCUUGAUUCUCUAAUUCCUUAAGGUUUGAAUAGUCAAUGCAUAAAUGCCUAUGUUUUAAUUCAAGACAUAUUAAUAGAAAAUUAUAAAUCAAUCAAAAUUCAUUCUAAUAAUGAUAUGAGAAGAUCAAAUGAGAAUAAGACAAAAUUCAGGGAUUUUUCUGAUAAUGAUAUAAAAGACAUCCCACACUUAAGAUGUACAUUUCCCUCAAUGUACAAAGUUAGAUUUACGACGGUAUAUAUAUAAGAUCAUAAGAUAGGGGGAGAAGUGAAACUUCGUGUGUGACGCCCCCAUGCCUGAAACCGUCACCGGAGUCGAGCUUGAGGAGUUACCGAACAUAAUUUAUCAAAAUAAGAACUUCAAAUCUUUUGUUUCUACAUUCACAGCUUUCUAGCUACUCGCGUCACAGUUACAAAAAAAAUCAUAUCUCGAGUUACGAAAUUCGAAAUGAAGAUCCAUAAAUUUUCCAUAAAUCUAGACUCAUAUAUAUAUUUACUAAUUUUUUUCUAUAAUUUUUGGUUGGGCCAAUUAGUACAUUUUAUUAGUUAAAGUCUCUCCUAUUUCAGGGUUCGACUGCUAUGACAUCUAUGUAUUACGAAUCAGAUAUCUCUCUAUACAGAAUUUCAAUGACUAUGAGGUUUGUUUCUAUUAAAACUAGACUCAAUAAGGAAUCUGUACAUAUAAAGAAUGACUUCUAAUUAUUUUUUUACAAUUUAUUAUGAAUUUGUAAAGUCAGAAUAGAGGAUCCAGAAAUCACUCUGGCCCUGUUUCACAAGGUUUCAAAUAUCUCAUAAAGUAUAAUUUAUAUGCCUGUUUUUUUAUCCAUAUGAAAAUAUACUCAUUAAGCUUAAAUUUCAUAACUUUCUCAUCAUUUAAUUCCAUUUAUACUAUUUUUAGUGAUUUUUGAAAUUCAUGUCAUUGCUGCAGCAAUAUUCUAUUUUAAGGCAAAUUUCAUCUUUUCAUGAGUUGUUAUGAACUAGAUAACCUAUUAAACUUCCAUGAUAUCAAACAUGAUCUAAAUUUAACCAUCACCAUGACUUAUCAAUAUCAAAUAUUUUCUCAACCAAUCAUGGCCAUAUCAUAAAAUUAUUUACACAAAAUAAAUAUAUUGCUAUACAUGCCAUACUUAAGUUUUACAAGCCAUUUACCCAGAUGAAAGUCCUUUGGAUAGUGUGAUCGAACCUUCGACCCGUCCCGAUUCCCGAGCUGGCUUGUUCAAAACUACAGUAAAUAAAGAGGAGGGAGUAAGCAUAAAUGCUUAGUAAGUUCAUAUGUAAAUAUCAAGUAACAUAACAAUACAAAUAUACCAAACAACUUUAGCAUGGUAUCACCAAAACAUAUAUCAUAUUUCUAAACAUCAUUCAUCAUCUUACUACCUUAUCGUUGUUGUAUCGCACGACCGUGUCUCCAUCCGUGGUGUGAGCAUGGCCUAAGGCAUGCCCGUGUGCAUGGCCGUGUGGAUUAGAAAACCUAUGUUUCAAGGACUCAGUUAGUGAUUAGAUGUGAAAAACUAAAAUGUUAAAGAAAUCAAUACUGUUAGUGCUCGGGUUGCCUCCCGAGAAGCGCUUAUUUAUAGUCUAAGCUCGACUUACUUCGAUCUCGCAUAGUCAUGGUGGUUCGAGGAGUUUACACUCCUCAUCCCUGCUAUCAAUUUUAUCAAAAUAAGGUUUUAGACGAGUAUUAUUUACCUUGAAAGUGCCAAAUUUAGGAUGAAUUACCUCGACUGUACCGUAUGGAGAAAUAUUGAGCACCGUGAGAGGAAUUUCUCCAUUUGAUUCAGAAGUGGCAAUACAAGGAUCUGCUGCAUCCAGUAGUUCUUUGUCUCCAACCUUAAGUUGAUUUGGUGGAAUAUUGAUCUCGUCAAGGCGUGGUUUUGGUUUAUGUGUCUACCAUUCAUCUAGUUCCUUAACUCGUAGCCUUCGUUCUUCAUAGAUAGGUCCUUUGUUGUUGCUUGAACACAACUCAUGUGCACUUUUCGAACUUGUUUUCUAUACAGAGGGUUUCACCACAUGAUCAGUACUAGUAGUAUGAUUUAUGCAAUCACCCUCGACUUUUGAGGUGUUACUCGAAUUAUGAGCUUGAAGAGUGAUUGUUUCAUCACCUACACGAAGUGUGAGUUCACUUGUACCAACAUCAAUUAUCGUUCUAGUAGUUGCUAAAAAGGGCCUUUCUAAAAUUAAAGGCACGUUACUAUCCUCCUCUAUGUCUAGAACAACGAAAUCAACUGGGAAUAUAAAUUUGUCAAUUUAUCGACUACAUCUUCAAUAAUACCCCUAAGAAAUCUGAUUAUUUUAUCGGCUAAUUGAAUACUCAUCCUAGUUUGUUUGGGUUUCCCAAGACCUAGUUGCUUAAACAUUUUGGAAGGCAUGACAUUGAUACUAGCCCCUGCAUUACUAACAUCUAAGCUACCAAUUAAACAAGGAAUCGUAAAACUUCCUGGAUCUUUUAAUUUGUUGGCCAGCUUAUUCUGUAGUAUGGCUGACCAAACCGCAUUUAGCUCCAUAUGCAACGCCUCAUCCAACUUCCGCUUAAUUGUUAAAAGCUCCUUUAAGAAUUUGACUGCUUUUGGCAUCUGUGAAAGAGUUUCAAUAAACGGUAAGUUAAUAUAUAAUUUCUUUAAUAAUUUAAGGAAUUUACCAAAUUGUUCGUCUGUACGGUCUUUCCUUGUCGCAUUGGGGUAUGACACACGAGGUUUGUACUCUUUACUUACUGGUAUUUGUUCACUGUGGUCUACCUCAACUUUACUUUUACUUACCACGAUUCCUUGCCUUGGUUCUGGUUUAGGUUCCACUAACCCUUCCUUAUCUUGGAUGGUAAUUGCGUUGAGUUUUUCCCUUGGGUUAGAUUCAGUGUUACUUGGCAGGCUACCUUGUGGUCGUUCAGAUAUUAAUUUGGCGAGUUGUCCUAUCUGAGUUUCGAGCCCUUGGAUUGAUGCUUGUUGAUUCUUAAGUGCUGUCUCGGUAUUCUAAAAAUGAGUUUUUGACACUGAGAUGAAUUUUGUUAGUAUCUCUUCAAGGUUUAACUUUUUCUCUUGUUGGUAGGGUGGUUGUUGGAAGCUAGGAGGUGGUGGUCUCUGAUUCCUUUUGGCCUUCUCAUGAGAAAUUGGGGUGGUUCCUCCAAUCUGCAUUGUAAGUGUUACUAUAAGGAUUAUUACCCAUGUAAUGUAACUACUCGUUCUCCAUGUAGUGGCCAUAGGGUGGGUAUUCUGAAUUGCUUGAUUCACCUCCACUUGCUUUGCACUGCAUUACUGGGUGAACCUAUGAAGAACCAAGAAAACCGUCAAUUUUUCUAUUCAAAAGUUCUAUCUGAUUAGAGAGCAUGGUGACCGAAUUGAUGAUAAAAAUGUCGGUUGUUUUCUUUGGCUUUGUCCUCAUGACUUGCCACUGAUAAUUAUUAAGUGACAUCUCUUCUAUAAAUUCAUAAGCAUCCUCAGGUGUCUUAUUAUUGAUAGUUCCACCAGCAGUCGCGUCAAUCAUCUGUCUAGUCGAAGGAUUCAAGCCAUUGUGAAACGUUUGAACCUGUAGCAAGAGUGGUAAGCCAUGGUGAGGGCAUCUUCUUAAAAGGUCCUUGUAUCUCUCCCACGCAUCGUAGAGUGUUUCUAAAUCCAUCCGCAUAAAAGAAGAGAUAUCAUUACGUAAUUUAGACGUUUUAGCUGGUGGAAAAUAUUUUAAUAAAAACAUUUUCGGUCAUUUGUUCCCAAGUAGUGAUUGACCCUCGUGGUAACAAGUUCAACCACUGUUUAGCUUUGUUCCUCAAUGAAAAGGGAAAUAACCGAAGAUGAAUGGCAUUAUCAGAAACGCCAUUGAUUUUAAAUGUAUCGCAAAACUCCAGAAAUUCACCAAAUGAGUGUUGGGAUCUUGGUCCUGCAAACCAUCAAACUGAACAAAUUGCUGUAUCAUUUGAAUUGUGUUAGGUUUCAGUCCAAAAUUAUUUGCAGCAACAGCAGGCCUAACUAUGCUUGAUUCAGUUCCUGUUAAAGAAGGUUUAGCAUAAUCAUACAUAGUACGUAGAGCAGGAUUCUGAUUAGCAGCAAUCGCAGGAGGUAGCGGAUUUUCCUAGUUUGCAGCCAUCUCCUUGGUUGUGGUUGAAGUAUCGUUCUCUUGCUCUUUCUCUGUGUAUCUUAAGCUUCGCCUUAUUUCUCUUCAGUUUCUGCGAACUGUGCGAUCGAUCUCACUAUUGAAAAGUAAUGGUCCUGACGGGUUUCUUCUAGUCAUAAACUAGAAAAACCUGUCAGAAGAAAAUAAAGUAAAAGUUAGAAAAGUGAAAUUAAACUAAAAAUAGAUUGCACUAAAAGUAAAUAUGGCUAAAGUAAUAAAAAUCGAAUGUUCCUAAUAUCUUAGUUCCCCGACAACGGCACCAAAAAAAGUUGAUACGUGAUAUUCGUGACAGGUUUUAAAAAUUUAUAAUUAAUCGCUCUUGAAACUAACUAUUAUCACAAUGAAGGCAAGUGUACGUAUCGAACAGUAGUAUAGCUUUAGCAAGACCAGAUUGUCGAACCCAAAGGAACCAAGAGUACUAGUAAUUACUUUCUUUUUAUUAUCUAGCCUAAAAAUUAAGGGAUUUGUUUAUCUAAACUAAUUAAUUAAACUAAGGGUGCAUAGAGAGAAAAUUGGGGAAAAGCUUUUGGGAAAACUCGAUUGAUUAAGACAAUACCCAAGGAAAAAUCGACCUAGACUUCACUUGUUAUUUAACUCUGAAUCAGACGACUUAUUCAUUUGACUUGAUCCGUAAAAAUCCAUAAGUUAUAUUAUUAUCUCUCUCGGGACUAAUAACGUCUAACCCUAGGUUAAUUAAUUGAAAUCUCUUUCUAAUUAACACCCAAGUGUUGUAUUAGCUCGAUCUAUGGACUCCUUUAUUAGGUUUCACCCUAAUCUGAAAAAAUCUUGUCACCCUAUCUCUAGGCGUGCAAUCAACUCCGCUUAAUUACGACAAAUUUACUCUUAGACAGGGACUUUUGCUCCUCUGAAUAAGCGCAUUAAUUUGAAUCAAUAUCCUAGAAUAUUAAAAAAAGAAUUAAGAACACAUAAUUAAGAACAAGUCAAAUAUUUAUCAUACAAUUUAGAUAAUAAUAUUAAGAUCUAUCUUAGGUUUCAUUCCCUUAGGUAUUUAGGGGGUUUAGUUCAUAAUUAUGAAAGAAAACAUCUCAAAAGAGUAAAGAUAACAAAACAUAAAGAAAACCCAAAACUCCUGAAGAAAAUUGAAGGGAGAUCUUCAGUCUUGACGAAGAAUCUGGCUUCUGGGAUGGAUUAAUCGGCUUUCUUUGAGUAAUUCCUUGCCUUCUACUCCAUGUCCCUCGUUCUAGUGCCUCCUCAGGUGCUUAAAUAGGCUUUAGAAUGCGUAAGAGCCCUCAAAAGUGGCCUUUUCCGAAUAGGACUAUACUUGGGCUCGACAGGGACACGCCCGUGUGCGAUUGCUUUAGACCAUGGUCAAGGCUGUUAAAUAGGCACGGGUGUGUGGUCUACCAGUGUAAGUCGUGCUUUGAUUCUGCCAAAAGGACAUGGCUGUGUGGACUACCCGUGUAAGGAAGUCUAGGCCGUGUUGAUUUCUCAUGUUGGUCCAUUUUCUCUUUUUUCGGCCAGUUUCUUGCUCUUUUUAUUCUCCUAUGCUCACCUAAGUAUAAAACAUGAAAUUAAAGGAUUAGGAGCAUUGAAUUCAUCAAAUCUAAGGAGAAAUCAUCCAUGAAUGUGCUAAGCAUGGGAUAAAAAAUGUAUAAAUUACGGUUUAUCAAAUACCCCCACACUUAAGCAUUUGCUUGUCCUGAAGCAAAAUCCUCAAUUCAUAAUCAAAAUAAACUCUUCUCAACUUAUAAUCCCUAUCGAUAAUAUCUCAAAGUAAACCAUAAGUAGUCAUACAUUGAGAAAACAAAACAUGUGUCACAUACAUCAUGAACUCAGACCACAACUAGAUGAGCUCAGAUGUCACAUAUAUCAUGAACUCAGACCAUAACUCAAUGAGUUCAGAUCACAUUGUUCCUAGUGACAUGUCACUUGUAUUCUAAAGUAUUCCUAAGGUUCAAACGGGAUUCUUUGAUACCACAUUUCCAUUGAGCUUGCUCGUAGUGUCAAUUUCAAUACUCGUAGCACCAAUCACAUACUCAUGGAAUAAUUAAGUCAUCAUUCAUAAUAAAAAUGUAAGCAUUUAAACACAUGAUACAAUGUCACAUUAAUUAUAUAUACUUACCAUACAUGCAAUAUCAAACAUCUAAAGAAUGGUAUAUGUUGCAUUAUUUGCAAAUGAACUUACCUUGGCACAAAAUGAUAGAAACGAGCCUAAUCCUCGUAAACUUUGUUUUUCCCUUGAUCAAGACUCAAAUCAUGUUUUUCUUGAUCUAUGAUGCCAAAUUCAACUUGCUCAAUACAUACAUUGCUUAUAUCGACCCAUAACACAUACUUUGGUAAAAUUCCUUUUUACCCUAACUUUUCACUUAUUUACACUUUAGUCCCUAGGCUCGUAAAAUGAAAUGCAUGCAUUUUUGUUGUUUCCCAAGCCUAGCCGAUUCAUAUUCUAACUCAUAUCAGCCUAUAUUUCUCAUUAAAACUCAUUUCUACUAUUAAUUUUUACACCUUUUUCAAACAAGUCCUUUUUUAACCAUAUUCACUAGAAAUUACUUAGUAAAAGAUGUUUAUCACACAUCAAACAUUUAUAUUCCUCCAUCAAACAUCAAAAUACAACCAUGUCAUACAUGGGUCAAAUUUUAUACAUGAAUCCUAGCUCAAAAUAAUGGUAGAAAUGGAUAGAUCAUGAAUCAAAGACUUAAAAAAUGCAAAGAACAUUACAAACGAGACUUGUGAGCACUUACAAUCAAGCUUGAAAGUUGAAGAAAAACCCUUGCUAUGUCCUUAGAAAUUUUGGUGCCCCCUUGAAAAAGAUGGGCAAGAUUUUCACUUCAUUUUCCCUUUUAAUUCUUUUAUUAACCAAAUGACAAAAAUACCCUUUUAGCCUUUCUUUCAAAUUUUAUCCAUGCAUGCCUAUUUUUGUCCAAAAAUGUGGAAAUUGGUCAAAUUUCUAUUUAAGGACCUCUAAUUAAUAAUCCAAAAAUGUGGAAAUUGGUCAAAUUGGCCUAGACACAUGCCCGUGUGUCUACCUGUGUGGACAACUUUGAGGCUAUUUUCUAAGCUAUUUGCAACCCUUAAACACUCACAUACAUAAUCUCACUUCAAGACAUGCAACAAAGCUUGUUUAGUCGCUCAAAUUCUCACAAUUAUGAUUAGUCCAUGACUUUGUAAUGUCAACAUAUCACAUGCUCAAACCAUCAUGCUUUCAUAUGGCAUUCCACACCAAUUUCAUAUUUAAUCAACCUUAAUAACCUACUUUCAAGUUACCCAAAUAUACCAUAGCUAUGGUCAUACCUAUUGGUCCCAAUUCAUUCAUUAAGCAUAUAUUCCAUCUAUCAUAAUUAUUACCAACAAGCAACCAUCAACCAUAUCACAAAGCAUAAACAGAUUACAUGAAUGCAUAAAUAAUUAGGGUUACAACCCAAGAAGCAAAUAUAAGCCACAUCUCAUGGCCUUAUACAAAAUGAAUCAUAAUACCAUUAUGAGCCAACUCAUUUGGCUAAUAAAUAUGACACAUAAUAAAAUGACCAAGUCCCCUAUACAUGCCAUACUCAAAAUACUUAAACCAUGUGUAUCCCCAAAAGAUUGAAUCGAUAAUGUGAUCUGUACUCCAAAGUCUUUUAAUCCCCGAGCUAGCUUGGCAAAACUAUAAAAGAUGGAAAGGAAAGGGGUAAGCAUUAAAGCUUAGUAAGUCCAUAUGUAAAUAAUAUGCGAUCUAAACAAGUAUUUAACAUGCAAUUAACAUAAUGAACAUAAAUUUGUAUUCCAUCAAUUCACUUACACUUACUCAUCAUAUAAACAACCUAGUCAUAAGAUCUUCACAUACCACAGCAUUAUUCAUGAGUUCUGUAUACAUACCUGUAUCAAAUCAUAACAUAAUCUCUUACUUUAUCAUCUUUGUAAUAUACAUCAGUUUACUCUUUGAAUUACCCGUUGAACGCUUGGAAUACUGUCAGAUACAUAGAAAGCUCGCACAUAAGUGCCAGAUAUGUAGCUAAAGCUACCUCAUAUCACAUAAUACAUAAAGGAUCAUUCUUGAAUUACUCACGAGUCUGCUCACACAAGAUGUUGGUCAGGACAUAGCUACACGGGCUGCUUACACAAGCUGUUAGGUAUCCGCAACACAUGUCAGACUACCUAGCCACUAGUAGAACGUACAAGACCAGCACUCGAAACCACAUAAACAUAUCUCAUGAGCUCAUAAAUCAUAUAGUUCCUAGUGACAUGUCACUUGUAUCCUAAACUAUUCCUAAGGUUCAAACGAGAUUUUUCGAUAUUACAUCUCUGUCAAGCUUACUUGUAAUGUCGAUCUCAGUGUCCAUAAUACCAACCACUUGCUCAUAGGGAAAUCAAGACAUAACUCAUAAUAACAUUAAAGAAUAUGAAUUCACAUAAUACUAAAGCAUCAAAAAUAUAACAUAAUAUCACAUUAUUUGUAUAUGAACUUACCUCGGUACAAAAUGAUGAAAACAAGUUUAUUUUUCGUAAACCUUGUUUUUCCCCCGAUUAAGACCCGAAUCACGUUUUUCUUGAUCUAUAAUGCCAAAUUUAACUUAUUUAAUACAUACAUUGUUCGAAUCGACUCAGAACACAUACUUUGGUAAAAUUGGUCUUUAGGCUCGUAAAAUGAAAUGCAUGCUUUUUUUUGUUACCCAAGCCUAGCCGAACUUAUAACAUGCUCCUAGCAGCCCACAUUUCUCAUUAAAACAUACAUCUUGCUACUUAUUUUGCAUUUUUUACAAAUAGGUCCUUUUCAUGCAUUUCUAUCAAAAAUCAUUUAGUAAAUGAUGUUAAACACACAUCAAACUUUCAUAUUUCUCUAUUAAACAUCAAUAUACAUGCAUGUCAUACAUGGGUAAAUUUUUGAACAUGAACCCUAGCUCAAAAUAAUGGUAGAAAUAGUUAGAUCGGUUGAUGACAACUUCAAAAAUGUAAAGAACAUUAAAAACGGGGCUAGGUGUACAUACAAUCAAGCUUGAAAAGUUGAAAAACCCUAGCUAUGGAACCUUUAGAAAUUUCACCUAUGGCAUGGAGAAGAUGAGCUAAUUUUUCUUGAUUUUACCCUUUUUAUUGUUUUAUUAACCAAAUGACAAAUAGGCCCUUAAGGCCUUUCUUUCAAAAUUUUCCUAUUCAUGCCCAUUUUUGUCCAAAAGUUUAGCACUUGGUCAAAUUACUAUUUAAGGACCUCUAAUUAAUAAUUCAUAACAAUUUUUCAUGCUUAAAGCUUCUAGAACUCAAGUUUUUCUAAUUAUUCAAUUUAGUCCCGAACUUCAAAUUGGGCACUUUAGGCAUAAAAUUUCUCCAUGAAAAUUUCACACAAACACGUAUUCAUAUCAUAGAUCAUCAAAUAAUCAUAAAAUCACUAUUUUGACUAGAACCUAAUUUUGGAUGUUACAACUUCAAAUUUGUGGUCUCAAAAUCACUAUUUCGACUAGAACCUAAUUCUGGAUGUUACAACUCUCCCCCCUUUAGGGAUUUUUGUCCUCGAAAAUCUCACCGGUGAAAAGAUUUGGGUAUUGGUUUCUCAUGGCCUCUUCAGGCUCCCAUGUAACCUUUUCAAGCCUAUUCCUUUCCCAUAACACUUUCACAAGGGCAAUACUUUUGUUUCUCAAUUGUUUGACUUCCCGAGCCAAAAUAUUAACCGGUUCCUCACCAUAAGUCAUAUAUGGUCGAAUCUCAACCUCUGUCGGUGAAAUCAAAUGUGAAGGAUCAGAUCAGUAGCGGCGCAACAUAGACACAUGGAACACAUCAGGAAUAUUUUCCAAUUUAGAUGGUAAGGCUAAGCGAUAGGUAAUUGGCCCUACUCUGUUGUUGAUCUCAUACGGUCUAAUAAAACGUGGACUCAACUUGCCCUUUCUACGAAAUCUAAAAACCUUUUUCCAUGGAGACACUUUCAAAAAUACCUUAUCACUAACCUGAAACUCAAUCUCUUUUCGUUUCAAAUCUGCAUAAGAUUUCUGUCUAUCCGAAGUAGCUUUCAAACAAUCACGUUUUAUCUUUACCUUUUUUUCAAUUUUUCUGACUAAAUCAACUUCGUGAUUCUGAUUCUCUCUAAGUUUGGUCCAAUACAUGGGAGUUUGGAACUUACGCCCAUAUAAUGCCUCAUAUGGUGCCAUUUUCAAACUUUUCUAGAAACUAUUGUUGUAGGCAAAUUCUACCAAUGGUAAAUACUUUUCCUAACUACCUUGAACUCUAAUACACAACAUCGAAGCAUGUCUUCAAAUAUUUGAGUUACUCUCUCCGACUUACAGUCGGUUUGUAGAUGGAAAGCAGUACUAAAGUUUAACUUUGUACCCAAAGCCUCUUGUAACUUUUUCCAAAACUGUGAAUUAAACCUCGAAUAUCUAUACGAUAUAAUCG
This 72847-nucleotide long non-coding RNA is filed under the name Gossypium barbadense (sea-island cotton). RNAcentral's name for it is "long non-coding RNA (GBAR_LNC000810)". The stretch from base 65967 to 66073 matches the Rfam family "Plant small nucleolar RNA R71". The record is from RNAcentral. Lineage: Eukaryota; Viridiplantae; Streptophyta; Magnoliopsida; Malvales; Malvaceae.